AGAGUGGCCUGCUCCUGUCUCACGGAUUAUUAGGCCCUCUCUGCUUUUAUUUUUCCCUGUAGUCAUCUAGCUAAUAGCCUAGUGUGGUUUGAUUGUGUCUUACACUAAAGUAUCCCCACAUAAUUUCUGCUCACAGCAGUGGUUUGCUCCUAUCUGCUAAGCAUCAGCAUCUUUCCCCUCCUGUCUCACACGAGAAUGAUUAGAUACUGCGUCACUGAGCAUCAGGCUUUUAGCCCCUCCCCCGGGGUCCACAGUGGUUUGAUCCUACCUCAUGGACUAUUAGGUUCUUUCUGAUUCCCCCUCUAGCAUCACCAUUACUAAUGGUAUGGUCCUUAGCAUCAGGUCCUUUUUGUCCCCCACUGGUCUUCUGAGCAGACUUGACGCAGCUUCAUCUCAUUCCUGAUGGAUCCUGAGCCCCUCAGUGCUUUACUCCUGCGUGAGCGCUGUGAACUGGACCAAAUGGGUUGAAAAUGGCCAGAAGUUGCUCUUUAUCACUUUAAAUCUUUUAUGAUAAAGAAAAAAACUUCAAUUUCUGACCAGUUAAAAUCCAUCUGAGCCAGUAAACGCUCAUUGGGCAGAGCUGGAGUCUGAGGUCGGUAAAUCCAGGAAGAUGGCUGAAUGCUUUGCUGACUCAAGCCCAGACAAGGAGCCAGAUUUCUUGGAUUCCAGAUUCACUUCUUUCUUGGCUUCACCCUGGACCUGUGGUGACUGGAGGCUUUGUGAUAUGAUGAGGAAACUGAGGCUCCAAGAGCUUCUGUGACUUGUCCAAGGCCAUACAGCUAGUUCACAGUGAGGCACAGAAUCAGUUUAGAAGCACUUCGGGGAAUUUGGAUACUGUUUGGUGGCCUGGCAAGAUCAGCACCCUUACUAUUUUAGUCCCUGCCAGUCAUCAGCCUCUGGUUUUCCUGUUAUCCUCUGCUCCCUGUUAUGUAGCUACUAAGUGGCCUAAGAGCCAGCACCUUCACAAAGUAGCAAAGGUAAGGCCGUUCUUCCUUGUUUUUUGUUUUCUGGAAAUUGCUUAUGCAUUUCAGACCCAGCUUACCUGUGUUUGAAGGAGCCUGCACCGGGAGCUGGAAGGACACAGUGCUCAUUCUGGGGUCAUACUGACUUGAGUUUGGUUCCUAUCCAAAUGAUUUCACACUAUCCAUCACAUGAAGUUUCAGGUCUAUUAUUAAAGAAAAUAUUUAGAAUACUACAACACAUAUACACAUAUCCAGAUAUAGGUGAAUACAUUAUUUCAGCUUUGGAUGAACUAAAUAUAUAAAAUAAGGGAAGAGUUACAUGUUUGCCUAUUUAAAAAUGUAAAACUCUAUAAAAACAUGAAUGACAUUAAACAUAAGUGGUCAACUGGGCACUCAGAUAAUAAUAUAAGGUAUAUUCUGUCCUUGCAUGAUUUACAUAUUUGCAAAAUUGCCAUUUGGCACAAUUGAGUGAUAAACCCAAGAUCAAUUCUGGUAUUUGUGUGGUUAUAUUUGGAUAAAUAUAGUGACUGAACACCCACUGUGUAGGAUUUUAGCAGAAGUCCAGUUAUGACUUUUUGUUUUCAAUCUUACAUUGUAAAUAAAGUUGUCUGCAUAGUGUGUUAAGUGCCACAAUCCUCAUACUUUUUGAUAAGUUCACUGUUCAAAACACUCCCCAACGUAGUACUGUUGAGUGCUUCUAAGUUUAAGAAGGCUGAGAGGUACCUUACAGAUACUAAUGAGUAUCACAUAAGCUUCAGUCAUGUGUGAUGGUGCUGCUGGCUAUAAUUUUGUUAAUGAAUCAUAUUUAUACGAUGGGUCAGUAUUCACUAGAAUAGUGUUUGCCAUGAUUUUUAUCAAAGUUAUCAAUUGUGAAUAACAAGAAGCAUGAUAACUAUCAAAAAUGCUGAUUACACAAGCUACAAUGUCAAUUUAUGAGGGAAACAAUGUGAACUUCAUCAAAAGCAAGCGAAAGUAGUACAUAGGUUAAGUGACUGGACAGAGACAAACAAAUCAUGCAUGUUAACAUUAUUGGAAAACUCUUUCAUUUACUAACAAUAAAAGAAUUCAAGUUGGAGUAACAAUGACAGGUCAGUGUUGUUGCCUAUCAUAUUAGAAAAGAUUUAUGAACUGUGCUGGCCACAGUACAAUGAUCUUAAUCACUUUUUUGUAUACUACCAGUGGAGUAAAUCAACAUGACAUCAUAGGAAGUGGCUUAGUGGCCUCUAAAAAAACUUGUACAAAUUUUAGUACAUCAUUGAAAUUGAACUUCAAAGUAUGUCUUCUGAGAAGUAAAUGUUCAGCUCUACAUAUCUUUAGUAUAAUGUUACUUGUAAGAACAAAGGUAGAAAAAAUUACAGGGAGUCUUUUAAGAGGGAGAACAGAUGUACUGUGCAUAGAAACAGGACAUAAAUGAGCCUUACAAAAUCCUUAAAUUAUUCUCAAAGAACAGUUGAUAACAUGAAAAACAUUUUAUCUUCGUUGAAAUAAAGCAGAUGACAUAUAAGUUAAAAAUUAAGUUACACUUUUAUCAUAAUACACUGAAGUAGGUCAAGUUGAAAAUAAAUCAGUUUCGGGGUGAAACUCAUUUUAAGUAUAAUCCAGUACAUACAAGUUGAGGGAACCUUCUAACCUGCUCCUCAGUAGCCAUCCAUCUCAUGUAGUUGGGCAUGCUUUAGGAGAUGGGAUAAUGAGUUGGCAUGAGCAAUGGAGUCUUACUGUAUUGAUCAGACAAGGAAGAACAGACUCACCUUUGGCCAUGCACAGAAAGGAAAAAUUUCAUUGAGACUUCUAUGAAAUUAGAUGAACUGUCUCAGUUCUUAGAAGGCAAGAAGAAGAAGAAGAAGAAGAAGAAGAAGAAGAAGAAGAAGAAGAAGAAGAAGAAGAAGAAGAAGAAGAAGAAGAAGAAGAAGAAGGCGUCAACAACAAUGAUGAUGACUAUGACUUUGCAGCUGAGUCUUAAAGGAUAUGUAGAAUCUUAGGGUUGAAAUACAGGGUAAGUAUUGACCUUUUCAGCUUCAACAGUGAUACCACUCUAGACUCUGAAGUCAAUGACUUUAAGAGGCAUUGAAAGUGGUUCUCUUUUGGGAUGUAUAUACCUAGAAGUUUCUAGUACUUUCAUCUAGGGUUCAGGUAAGUUGCCAUAAUCUAAUGCUCUGACCCUAAUUUUAAUAGAUAAAAGACAUAAAUAUUUCAUGAAUUGUACACCAUCUGAUGAGUCACACAUAUAUGUAAUAUGGAGAAUGAGUGAAGGGGGGAAGAGAUAUCAGAGACAGGAUGAGAAAGAAACAAAUAUUUGUUAAGUACUAGUGAGCUCUAAUAGUACAUAGGCCAUUUUAAUUUUACCUAAUAUGCUUGAGGCCAUUAUGUAGGCAUUCAUUCCAAAUUCCAGUGUUGCCCUUAAAAAUCAAUGAGGACAGGAAAGAUAGAGCUAGAGUGACAAAUGGACAAUGGAAGUGAUUAGAGGUAGUUGUAGGUAGAAGUGUUUUUCAAACUAGCUACAGUGAAGGUACAGAGAUUAUUAAUUGGCCUAACUCUAAUGUAAACAUAGAUAAGGGGAAAUUAAUUCAUAGAGCUGUACAAGGGUAUAUGAAACAAGCUAUGACCACACCCCACAAACUGAAGACCAUGGUACCAGUAAGAGGUGAUCAGGAGUUGCAACGUGUCUCCCCUGGAGGAUGGGAUCAGCUACUGAGAGUGGUUGAGACUGAAGUAGGGUAUAUUGGAUGAAAGAGACUAUUCCUUACUUUGUUAACACUUCUAUACAUAUCAGCUCACUCUGCAUAUGGUGUUUUGGACCAUACUAAGUCAGUGACUAGAAUACAGGUGUGUCAAUAUUUAUAAAUGUAUCUAACAUCUCUUGAAGGACACAGAAGAAACAUAGUGAUCAUUCUCUGACAAGAGAACCUGGUAGAAGUGGGAAGAACACGUAGUCAAUUUUGUACCUCUUGCUUUUGUAUUAUACACUACUGCCUGCUUCCAACAAGAAAACUACACACACACACACACACACACACACACACACCUUCAUUUUUAUCCAGAACUAUAAUCACAACGAGUUCCCUUUCUUGUCCAUGAACAACCUCCCCACUGACAAUUUAAAACCAUAUUCUAUCCUUACUGGCCACUUGGCAUAGGAUCUAAUUGGCAGGAUGGAAUUAGCAAAAGUAGCCUCCAUGUGGGAAAGGGAAGCAUACUCUGUGAAGCGGGAUCCUGAAGUCAACAGUACUGCUAGUAUUACUAUUUCUUCAGACUGUUAAGUAGACAGGCAAGAGACCUUCUUCACUGGUUUGAAUGUGGAAGAUAAAAACCAAGAAACAAAGAUUUGUUGAGAGAAGCUGAAGAAAUGGUCAGGGAGAGGUCAUGCAGCAACUUACUGAAAUCUAGCUGUGUUAAGAUAGGUUUGCAAGUGUUAAGAUAGGGCUGUUCAGAAAGCCUUCUGUCAGCUAUCAGAUCCCAUAUCAAACAUACACAUGACCAUUUAUAUGAGCAAAUCUUCAAAUUAGUCUUUUGGAUUCUGCUGGGUUUUAUCAGGCUUAUUCAACAAAAUUCAAGUGCCUGUUGUAAGGAGGGUCCAGAACAGAGCAGUAGUUGUGGGCAUUCACAAAGAGAGAAGGUUUCUGCGAAAACCAAUGGUUCCUGAAUGAGGGUUUUGUGAUGGAUUAGGGGCCAAGUGUUGUGGAUUCUAACAGAGCCGAUAUAGUGCUUGGUUCCUAGUAGGUGCUCAGUAAGUGUUUGUGACAUAAUUCGUUUAUUGAGCACCUCCUAUCAAUCAAGCACUGUGCUAGGCUCUGGGGCCACAUAGCUAAGUUAGACAAGAUGUUCCCUUUUGAGGUCCUUAUUUCUAGUAGUGGCUAUAAUAGAAUGAUUAGUUAUAACAACAGUGCUGAGAGGGAUAAGAGGAUAUGCCCAGGAAACAGAAGCAAGUUGCACUGUGGGAAGAAGCUGCGAAUAUACACCAUUUAUUCCAAAACCUUAGGAAGGAAAGGAGAGAAGGUGACAGCAAAUAGAGAGGUAAGGGUGAGAAGUUUUACCUUGAGAAUGAGAGGCUUGAGCAUAAUGUUCCCAUUAGAGAGGGCAGGAUGAAGAUUCAAGAGUUAAGGCAGUGAGCAAGGGAAAGUCAGGUAGGUCUGAGGCUAUAGAGGGGGUGAGAGUGGAACCUGGCUAGGAUCUCCACACGAAGUCUUCUGAAGCACGAGAGUGUGGACUUGCAGGUGGUACCAGGAGAUGAUGGAGAAAGUUAAGAGUAUGCAAAGGGCAGUGAUUGCAACGAUAAAUUGCAGGUCCUAGGGCAGUUUGAGAAGGUGAUUAAGAUGCAAAUGAUGGAAACAAGGAAAAGGCCUUAUUGGCGCAGAAGCAGCCAGAGUAUACAAGUAGAGGACGACACAGGUGUCGUGGUCUGGAAUGACAAAAAGAUUCUGGGUGUGACCAAGGAUGUGAAUAAAUGGUGUAGGCAUAGCAAGAGGUUAUGGUAGUUGAACCAAGAAGUUAGGGCUUUCUGAUUAUUUCCCAUGGAUGUUUAAAUCCAUGUGAUCAUACAAAGGCUUGUACCAGGAGUCCAAGAUCAAUUUUGGGGGUUAAUGUUUGGAAGAAAGUAAGCAGAUACCAGUGAUGACAGCAUUUGUUUGUUGGAGAAUGUAAAUACCCUAGCUAUUCAUUACCUGAAACAGGAGGUGAGCGUCUGUCAUCUUGGCUUCCCUCCUCAUGGAAUUCUUACUGAAAUGAGAUAGAACACUCCAGCUACAAUGGGAAUCAACCAGUGUCUGUGGAGUACAGCCUGUCCCAGCAGUCCUAGAUGCCUAAAGGACUAGCUAUCAGGAUAAGGCCUGUGUUACUGUGCUAGUCAGUAGCAUGCAACUCUGCAGAAGCACUGAGAGGCUCAGGAAUGAAGAAAAACGGAAUCACACAAAGGAAUGGAUGUAGUAUUUUCUAGGUUAAUUCCUAGAGAGUGUGGUGCAUGCUGAUCUUUCAAUGUUUUUCCUUGGUCUAUGCAAGAAUAGUGGUGAUAAUGACACAUGAAACUGUUUGUUUGGCCAAUGACGUGAGAGGAAUGACAGGCAGGGAGGGAAAGACUUUCUGUGACCAGAAGAGUUUUUGAGGUACAAUUUUGAUUCACAAUUGGUGGGGGUGGUGUUUUUUGACAAAGAGUAGUGGCAGACAUUCUGAUCUUUCGCGAAACGUGUGAGGAAAAACUGCAGAAAACAUGGAGGAGCUUCGAGAAACACUUAAGAUGUUUUCUUUCACAGUAACAGCAUCUGGAGCCACAACAAACAAUAGCUAUAGUGAUGACGGUAGCUAAUAUACACAUAAUCUGAUCCCAUGGAAGUGCUCUGUUAAGCAUGGUUAUUUGCAUGAAUUCUUUCAGUACUUAACAACAGCUUUUUAAGGUCUAAGUAUCUAUAUUUAAUCCAUUUACUGUUGUGUAAUAAAAUACAUGAAACAGGAUACUUUAAAAGUCAAAGACUACUUUAGCUUAAGGCCCCUUGACUUUGCAACCAGGGUCCCAAGGCUGUAUUAGAAUCAUAUGACAAGGGGCAAAGAGCAUGUGUAGGAGACUAUAGCUUCCCUCAUUCCUUAAUCUACCAGAAUUCAACUAUGAGAGCCCCACCAUAAUGGCCUUAUUUAAACUUAGUCACCUCUCAUAGGCCCUGUGUCUAAACAGCAUCGUUGAAUUAACUUUGUAUCUUCUUAAUACAUUACAGGGGGAAGAAAUGUCAACAUAUAAAGUUGCAAGGCACCCUCAGACCAUAUUCAAAUUAUUGUGGUGCUAGUAUUACAAUAAUUGCUGGUGCUCACUGGUAAAAUGCUCAGCUAGCAUGUGCAAAGUCAUAGGCUCAAUCUUUAGUAGCAUUAAGUAAACACUUUAGUACUAAGAAAGAGUGUAUUAAGUACAAAGCAAGAGUGUAUUAGAAUUCAAAUCCUUGUAACCCAUUCUGAUGAAGAUAUGGGUAUGAAGAGUGUCAAAUAUCUAUUGUUGGCCUAUGUAGACUAUAAACUGUAGAUUGUAUACUUUUAAAAAAAGCUCUUGCUGCAUUCUUCCUGGGAUUUGGUUCCUGUGUAUACAAAAUAGACUGGUGCCUGCCUGGAUUUUUUGUGAUUAUGACAUGCUGUGAAAAUUACAUGUUGCUGUGAAAGAAAUCUGACAGGGGUCAGAAGCCUUCAAAAGGGCAUAUGAUUAGCUAGAGCAUACUUGCAAAAUUGAUUGUCUUUGGAAGACGAGACAAGGAGCCUAUAAAAUGUUUCCCUGGGCUGAAAUGAAACCAGGGCUUCAGCAUUCCAGAUAAGCUAUCUGCCAUUACAAUAUAAACAGCUUGUUUAUCAUUUUGUUGAAACCAGGUAGCUCAUUAUUAACUUGACCAUCACUGGUAGUUUAAAAAGGUCUUGAACUGAUGAUCCUCCAGCCUUAGUCUCACUGGUAGCUGGACUUACAGGCCAGGAUUGGCUGGGUGGGUAUUUAUUUUAAAAGAAAUAUCCUAUUUCAAUUACAUCCUAUAAGUAUUUAUAUUAAUUCAUUUACUAUGAACUGAGAAAAUGAUAUAUAUGUAUGGCCAUUCAAAAGAGUUAUUUCUUCCUUUGUGGUUCAUUGAAUUUCAUUUUUAAUAUUGGAACUCAGCAAAACUGUUGCAUGUUCUGGUAUAACAUUUCCUGUACCCCUUUAUCUUUCCCAUUGCCAUUCUGCCUCUCUCCUUUGAGGUCACAUGUGAAGUCCCCUAAUUUUUUAAGCUAUCCUGCUUCAACCUUUCUAUAUAGCUCACAGCCUUUUUCUACUAUGAAUUCAAAGUCUCUCAGUCAUUUGUAAUUGCUAGUCUUUGGGAAUUGUUUAUUAUAGUUAAGCUUGAAGAUUAAUUAACACAUCUCUAUGGCCUCUUCCUGCACUGUGAGGCAUUGGUUCUCUUAAAGCAAGGACUUUACAUUCCCAAGGUCAAGUUUUCCUCAGUUAGUUCUACUUCUCUACAUCAGUAUUUAUGGUGUCUUUGAUUGUUUUUCUAGGUUCAGCCUAGGGAGUUCCCAAUGUUUAAAUUAACAGCAACAGUGAUCUAUAUAGUCUCAAAAGGGCUGAUGCUUGCAUGGUGGCCUUCUGAGCAUCUGCCAUAUCCAUCUGCUCUUGUAACCGUCUCUUCUUCCUCCUUCCCAUGCUGUAUACAAGGAAUGAACCAUAAAAGCAGAAACUCCGUCAUUCUUCUGAACCAUUUUUUAUGUGUCCUCCACUUCAAUAUUACGUUGCCUGUUUGAGCUUUACUUUGCAUAGUAGACUUGCUCAGUCUGGUCACUGUGGAUGAGAACCACAUUGUUUAAAAGCCCUUCAAUAUGUGAACUGUUGAAAAUCGUGCAGCAGUGGGUUCUGCUGGCUCUGGGAUGAGGGCUUCACCUCAUGUAUUUGUACUGCCCUUAUACUAGUUACUGCUGACCUCAGAAUCAGGUUGAGAAUUCAAAGAAAAUCAAACCCUUAUGUGUUGCCCUAAGGCAAAACUGUACCUCUUACUACCUUAAGUGCCCGAUUUCCAUUAACCACAUUUUUUCCCCUGGUGAAAAUUAAUACCACAUUGAAGGAAGAUAAAGUCACAUGGUCUUUAGCGCAGUGCCAGUACAUGAUUGUGGAUGAUGUAUAAAGGCAAGCAAAAGAUAGGAACAUAUCUAUGUGACAACAUAGAGUCAAUCUACACUACUAACAUAUCCAAAACUGGAUAGGACACACCAUCUUAUAGAAUUAUCCCUGGCUUCUUUUCUAAACACACGGCACCACAAUGAAACAGAGCAGAAAAAGAAGGGUUCUGGUAGGAGCUAGAAUGAUUUUCUUGCCUUUCUUCAGCUCUAAAAGUAAUCUAGCUUUGCCCUAGCUCAAUGUCUGCUCACCUCCUUAUGUCAGUCUUAAUUAACAGCAACAACAAAAGUCCUCAGAGGACUGAGCUCACCAUCAGAAAAGGAUCAUAGAAGUCAUCUAAUUCACACAUACCUCAAGGCCUGCCAAGCUCCUGUGUGGGGUUACACCUAAAACAAACUCUAUACAGGGCUUGUCAGGAAAAGCUGUCCAGUUGUUUUUUCCCACUCAGGGAACCUGGAGUGCAAAAGAGCAAAGCAAUCAGCAGCUCAGCUUUACUGGCCUUCCGGCCACAUGCAUAUAUAUUUCUCAUAAAGCCUUCUUCCCCAAUUCCUAGGCUCCAACUCACUUCUUAUCCUUGGUUCCUCCCUGAGUGUGGGACACACACACACACACACACACACACACACACACACACACACACACGCAUGCACCCACACACUCACAUGUUCUUAAUGCAGAGCUAAGAACAUCUACAAAAGGACCAUGUAGGACACAGCUCCUUUACACAUAGCUGGCUACGGUGAUUUUAAUGUGGAUGCUUAUAUUCAAGAAAAGUAUUAAAUAUGCAAGUAUCACUUUAAUAUUCCGGGCAAAUUUCAUUUUAAUGACUAUGACUACAAAUGGGUCAGAGUUACUGAAGAAAGUAGACACUCUUAGAACUUAUAGUACAGGGCCUGUUGGUCAUUCUGGGAGGGGAUAUAGCUUUCAAGAGUGGUGUGAAGUUUAGUAGAUGAUAAUAAUUCCUGUCUUCAAAGUGCACCCCCACAAAUGGCUAAGAGACAAAGUAUUUUUAAAGGAAACAAUAUAAAGAACUUUUAAAAAGAAAAACAAAUCUACCGAAAAAUCUAAAAACAACUCUUCACCUGCCUGCAAACUCCCUAAGAAGCAAAAACAAAAACAAAACAAAACACUAACAAACAACAACAAAACACACACACCCACACCCACACACACCUUAGAGCAGUUAAAACCCAAGGUGGUGGUGAGGCACAGCAAAGAAAAAUUAAACCAAACCCUGUUUUCUUUUUUACAAAGAUGAUAGAAGAAGAAAAAUAAACACAACCUCCAUAAAACAACAAAGCAAAACCCACCAAAACCAGAGUAAUAGGACAUAAAGUAAAAGGAAAUCUAAUAAAUAGAGAAAGGGAAAAAAUUCUCAGCAAUGACAAUAAAAAAUUCUAAACAUUGAGAGAAUAAAGAGAAAUAAAUUAUAAAAGGAAUUAAGAGAAGGAAAACUCUUAUGUAUAAUAGAAAAGGAAUGAGGCAGGGAGACUCAGCAUGUUAAAAAAACAAAACAAAACAACAAAAACCUUUGGGAGAGAUAGGAAGGAUUUGCUUUUGUUAGGCUUGUGGAGUGGGAGGUAAAUAGCCAGAAAACAUGGCUGUCCACAGUGCCCUUUGGGAGCUGUUGGAAGGCAUGAAAGGGCAUGUUAUUGUAACAUAGGCAGACAGGCGUUUAAGUGGCUCAUUACCACCAUAUUAACUUUCACAUGUGAGUCUGAGAAGCCCCGGAGACCUGCUUUAUUUCACCAGGGUCUGAGAGAUACCAUUUGUUGAUGGGCCAGAUCUAUGAUCUGUAUUGGGCCCCUGCCUGCCCAGAGAGAGAUAUAAGUUCAACUUUUUUUUUUCAAAAGCUAUUUUGAAAAUAAUGCAGGUUCUGUCUGGACCACAUCUGGGUGACUACUAGGUCUUCCCUCAAAGCACUUUGAGUCAGGGUUCUGGAACUUGCCAGCCAUCGAAUUCGCCAGGAGCCAGAAGCCAUCUUUGUAUUCACUUAAAAAUGUGAUUUUUUCCCCACAUAAAUAGGUGUGUGUGUGUGUGUGUGUGUGUGUGUGUGUGUGUGUGUGUGAGUGAUCAUAAACAGCCAGAAUCCCAAUGAGAAACAACUCUAGACAAUCACAGUUCCAAAUAGGAAUCUCAAAGGCAUUCAGCUUCGGAUUUGGAAUGCUGUGUUUAUUUUGUCAGUAUUAUUUAUUCUGUCUUUGAAAUACUUCUUGCUUAAAAAUAAUAGUUAAAUCCUUUUCCGCGAUCACAUUGACUUUUAAUUGAGUAGUACAGGGUGGUGUCUAGGAGGAAGCAUAUUCCUAACAUAUCCUUUAGUUGAGUCAUCCCAACAAGGAUCAGGAAAAUUUGAUGACAAUGAUUGCAGUGGAUGUGCAUUCUGACAUGCAGGUUUCCUGCUCUGGCCUUUAUCUGGCUGGAAGUGAAAGCAACAAGACAGCUGUGGUGAUGGGACACUGGGGGAACAAAUUUCCCACAGGUCACAUCAGUGGGUGGUCAGAAAGCAGACAUCUUUUACACUACCACCACAACCCCCCCACCCCCAACUGCAGCAAGUUUGUAAUUUUUCUGUGUCCUGAAGCCUGGUGCUUCUUGGCUCUGGUAUGCAGAGUGGUGCUUCUGAGCAUUCGGAGAGAGGAGAGCAGGAGUGUUGCUAGCACAUGUUGCAGUGCCAUCCAGUUGAUGGAUCAUACUACAAAGCUAAGUUAACAUACGUGGGAUAGGCAUGGAGACUAGAGGAAGGACUAAGAUCUAAAGUGAAGCCCAACCUGGAGGAACCAUGUAAUUUCAGGCAAGUCCCAUAACCUCUCUAAACUUCUAGACAAGGAACAUACCACAUGGAAAAUGAGUAUCAUGACUUUUCCCUCAUGAGGAAAAUGUAAAAACAGCUCCGAAUCCAAAACAUAACUAUACAGUAGCAGAGAUAUUGGCCAUUAAAGCGGGAUGUAAUGGUAGUUUGAAGUUGUCAUCACACAACAACAGAAAACAAAACCAAACAGGCUGAGAGACUGAGCCCAAGGCAACUUGGUUCUCCACAGUCUUCUAAACACUCCUUCUCUCCCCUAGCUCGCUCUCCACAAACCCUAUUUCAAAUGCACUGUUCCUUGCCUAACACUCUGGUGGCACUUUCAAUGGAAUCCAAACUUAGGCUCAAAUGAGAACUUGAAUAGACUGGUGCUAUGCAGCAGGGGACUGGACUAGAUUAUUGUUUUUACAUGCCAAAUAUUUGUCCCCAAAUACUGAUGUGUCAUGUAGAGCUUCUAAUUUAUUAGUUCUGCUGGUUAUAUUAUAAAGCAUAGAAGACAUUCUAAAACAAUGGUUACUUUCUGGGGUCAUCAUUUGCUGAAAGAAAAGGUAUUUGACAUUAAAAAAGUAGAGAUGAUAGAAUAUCGGGAUUAGAAGUUUUAAGUUUAUGAAAUAAUCUGUACAGUCCUGCCUCUCGUUUUCUUUUGGAACAGUGGAAUGUUCAACACGAAUAGCUGGCAGCUGGGUGCCAGUCUUUUCUCUGGGGCAAAUAGUAACACUCAGCUGUGCUACUUUCCCAUUUGGGGCCUCGUUUUGCCCAUCUCUACAACAGGGGUGAUUAAACCUAAUGAAAUACAAAGUGCUAUCCAGAUUCUAGAGCUUCUCUCUAGUCCUCAGAGUCUUGAAUUCUUGCUAGAAACGAAACCUCACUUCCAAUUACCUAACCCUGAACCAGGUAGUGGGCACUUCCCAUUCCUGGCAUACAUGAAGGAAAGCCUUUGCCAGCAGCCAUGAUGCAAAGCACCAGGCCCUUUGAUGUCCUUCACAGUUUGGGAGGGGUUGCUUCUGUGCCUCCACAGUGCUGCUUCUCGAACUUUCCCCGUGAACUCUUUUAGACUGUUUUGCUUCAUACUCACCCCCAAGUUGUAUAAUUGCAAAGCCUCUUGGACUGCCUGUGCUCUUUGUGUCUGUUUGGGCUUGGUUGCUAUAGAGAGAUUUUUACCUCUGGUCUCUUUCCUCUCUCCCUUUUGUCUUCCCCAAUAUGUACUUUCCAUGAAUUCCUCCCUAUUGCUUUUUUCUCUUGAGACAGAAAGCAUGAGCUCAACUGUUGGCAUGGUCCAUAAAUGGCAUUGUCUGAAUUCUUGGCAAAAUCCCAAUUGGGAAAUAUUGGGCUGUAGUUGGUUCUAGGUAGUUGGAGGAAAUAUAAAAUUAAUUAGUAACAUAAUUUAGGGCUUUACCUGCCUUGUAAAAGUGCACUAGUGUUUGUCCUAGAAAGCACUUUCUGGCUCUAAUCCUUCUCCACUGUUCUCAGAAGACUUGGAGUUUAAAUGAGACAUUUUGAGCUGAGUGGUCAUUUUACUGGCAACCCCAGCCUCACUAGUCCUGGGCAAGAAACACAAAAGAGAAUGUGGUACUUGAAGGCUACUGUCUUGGAGUUUGAGGCUAGCUCAGUCUGCACUUGUCUUCAUUUGUCAGUCCUGCUUCCUUGCCUGCUCCCUGCCUCCAGUGUCUCAUUUCAGAUUGUUUCCUUGGCAUCUUAUUGUGUGACAUCUAAAGAAUGAACCACAGAGAAAACAAUAACCAAUAAAUACAUAAGUAAAUAAGUAAAUAAAUAAAUAAUAAGAACCCCUAAACAACUGUGACACUCAAGAGACAGCUCAAGUUACAAUGGUUUCAUUAUUAUUAUUAUUAUCAUCAUCAUCGUCGUCGUCAUCAUCAUCAUCAAAUUUACUUAAAAAUAAGCCAAAGUGAUACAAUUCCAAAAUUCAAUUUGGAUUCAGUUCCUGUAGUUGUUCACUGUUAUGGGUGAUACGCUGUUUUGUCUCUGGGAAGGCCCUAGCUGAGGCAAUUUCCCUGUGAACCACAGCCUGCCCAGCCCCCUGCCUGCCUUCCAGUCCUAGUCCUCUUCAUUGCCCUAGAGCUGGGCCUUCGAAGCCCAGGGUAGUGGAAGCAUGGCACAGUACACUUCUGGGUUCUUCCAGCUGUACUCUCACUGGGGAAAAUCAACUUUGAAGUAAAGCUGGGGGCCUGCCAGGAAACUGAAAAGGGGUUAUUAAAAAUGGCCUUUUUCAAACCACCAGUGAUGUUUUGCUAGCAGAGGGUAACAGGUUACUUGGAAUCUGAACUGCUUUGGGUUUUGGAUUAAAUUGCAAAGUUGGCUGAGAUUUCAGACCCCCAGGGUCUUGAGGGCUGAAGACACAAUUGAAAGCAUAUUAGAUGCUGGCUGCAUCUAUACAAUACCAACCAAUGAGUUAAAAAGGGAGAAUUCACGAAAAUCUGUUUAUUUGGUGUCAUGAACACAAAAACAUAAGCUGGAGUUUAGCCUUGUUCUUUUUAAUUUAGUUUUAUUUUAAUAAAUCCAGACUAGAAUAUUUUGAAAAUGGAAAUAGCAUGCAUUUCUACCAAGCAUUAUACUGCUUUGAAUUUCACUAUAUUCACUCUCACAGCCCUCCCUCAACUUUAGGUAAGGACCAUUCUAUCUUAAGGAUCAAAGAAAAGGGCCAUGUGGGAUUCUUUCCAAUGUUUUAGUCUCCUAGCUCUCCCUUGCCCUGCCCCAAUGCACCUGCAAUUGUAGAAUUAGCCUUUUAACCUUUUGUUUAUUGAGAUCUUGAGAAGACUUUGGUUUCCAAGAGUCCCUGUUCCAAUAUUUAUGCUUGCACUGGUUUUUCUCACCAUCUCCUCUAGCUCAUAGUUGAAAUCCCUGGUAGUCCUAAGCCAUGUUCUCCAAGGUAUUCUCACUCACCCGGGAAGGUUUGCUUGGUAAAAUUCUUAAGGAAAAACCUACUACAAACUGUAUUAAUGUUUAAAUGGAAUCGCUGGCCAGAAAAACCCAGUGUUUUGAGUUAUUCUUGAUUUGAACAUAGCCACCUGGAUUUCUAUAAUGGAUUUAGUGUUCCAUGGCCUGCUUGUGCUUCUCAUGACUUGGAGGCCCCCAAGAAACAUGUCCAGAGGGACCUGUGGCCAAGCGCUGUCAAUGUUGCUAGGGUUUGGGGAUAGACAGUAACCUAUGUGUUUUCACAACUCAGGACCCCAGAAGUGACUUGAACUGCCUGAUUGAAGGAGGUCCCUAGCAGUGACCUCAUGUUUCCAUGAUGGGAGGACCAAGGUUGCAAUCCAGGUUUGGCUAAGGCAUACUGCAAUCCACUGGAGAACAGGGAUAAGGGCUUUGCUCUGCACAGUCUGUUUUAGUCUGUAGUUGGGAAGCAAGCAGUGAUGAUGCGUGUCAGUCUGUGGUCAGUUGUACUCCCAAGGAACUUUAUACAUUCUUCCCCCCAGGGUCCAUUUGCUAGGAGCAAAGGUAACACACAAAAGCAACAAGUGCACAGAGGGUGCCAACUCAGGGUUAGCACUUCCCACACCAUCCUAGUCCAGUUAGAGCAUCUUAGGCUCUGCCCUGGCCCUCCUAGUUGUCCCUUCCUAUGGAAUAUCUGAGGUGAAGGUUUGUCCUUCAUUCUCCAAAAGCAAUUGACAGAGGGAAGGUGAGGGAAAUUUUCUGCUGCCAUGGAAGGCCAGUGCUGGCCAGAGGCCAACUUUCCUGAGUUUCUCCCAGGCGGAUUCCACAAUAGAUGGGGGUAGGAGGAGGCACAAUUGGCCCAGACUGUUUUUAUUUGGUCUGCAGUGUGGGAGAUCAGACGUUCUGAAGAGAAUUGAAAACACUUCUUUCUUUGGAUUCCUGGGGCUGUGUAGGGGGAGCUUGGGCCCCACUUGGCACAGAGUUGAUUACAACAUUAAAAAAAAAAAAAAAAAAACCUCCAAUAUUGUUGCCCAAGGCUGAAUGGAAAGUUUUCCUUCUAGUCAGAGCUGACUCCUAAACCCCACACCUUCUUAAGCCUUUGAUUAGCAGACACCUGCCACCAAGGAGACUAGAAAAUAAUAAAGAUGCUAGGGGCUGCUCACAAAGUCGCUCAGGUUGGAUCAGCACUUAGGGAGGCUGGAUGGCGGAACAAUGCUCUGCCACGUCUGCUAGACCCCAAAGAAUCUGAGGCUCAGAACUCGUAUUCCAAAUUAACGAACAAAACAAGAUGAAAAAGACAGCUCUCUUUGACUCUGCUGAGGUUUUUUUUUUUUUAAUUUCUUAUUCAUUUAUAUGUACUGAAGUUAUUAAAAACAUGAUUUCAUUAAAUGGUGUUGUGUCCAAACCUUAACCUUAGUUGAUGGCUCCUUCUGAGGCAGGAAUGCCAACCACCUCCCAUUUUAUCAGUGCUUUUUAUUCAGAAUGUUUUAAGAAAAGAGGAAUAGAUACAGGAAGAUUGCUAUAUACUGAUGACCACUUUGGGGGGGUUGUUGUUGACAAGAUUGUGUUGGAAGAAACUUGUGGUUGAUACAAAGGGAAAAAAUAACAAGGACUCACAAACAAGAACUCUGCACUUGUUAGAUCCCUCAAAUCAACUGGUAAACAAACGAUCUCUGGAGCUAAAGCACUUUUCAUCAGUGCAAAGAAUUCUGUGAAAAUAUUAAUGAUUACAUAUUUAUAACCCCAUGGACUUUCAAAACAUAGUUUGGAUCACUAAGCAUACGGAUUUUGAUCCAAUGGGAGGUCAUUGUAAAAUGGCUCCUUCUGCAACUGGCCCUGAUGAGCUAUUUACCCAGAGCAAAGCACAUUGGCCCAGUUGUCUUGGUGAUAGACGGCUUGGCAACAAGAGCUGUCUGCACAGCUCUGAGGUGGAGUUGAACUGUCUGUAAUGUCUCCGUUCAAGUUUGGCUAAUUGAAAUCAGGAAGAAAAAUUAAUGUAGAAAGAAGGUGAAAAAAACUACACCUCCAGUUGGGUUUUGCAUGCCUGUUAAUGUGCUAGUUGGGUUUUUAAAAAUGGUUUAGGGAAUUCUGUUCUGUUAUUUUUACUGUGUUAUUGUUAUACACGAGAUGGCACAUUAGCUUCCAAGACAGGGCUAGCAGUUGUGGCAACAUGCCAGUUUCCCAAGGACCCCACGUCAAGUUAAGUUAAACCACUAUCCACAUGCCAUCAGCAGAACGUCUGAGGCAAAGAACAAGAGUAAGUCCGGAACCUGUUUCUAGAAGGUCACACUGCUAAUGCCCUGCUAAGAAUGUUGUAUGCAUAGACAAGAAAGGAAGCAAUGUGUUCAGAAGCAAAAGAAAUGAAGACAGGAGCCCUUAACUAAAUCAAGCCUAUGAACCUUCAGAAUUACAUGCAUAAAGUUGUGUGUAUUCAUAUUCAUUUUUUUUAGUCCUUGGCUUUGAUUAUAUUCUCUAAGGAGGUAACCUACUUCUAUAGGUAUUCAUGUUCACAGGCUUAUCCCUGUUUAGUUUUCCUGGUAGGCAGUAAUUGGGAGACAAGGGAAUGGGUAGAAACUUAGAUCCACUAUCUAGAAUGCUAUGUAGUUCAAGAUAACUGGAUGUGGAGAUAUACUACUUCAGAUCAGAUGAAAAGAAACAUUUUCCUUCCUCUUACCUAUCAUAGUAUGUAACAGAAUAAAGUUUAGACAAAUGUAAAAACAUAAUACGGGUUUAAUAUUUUACCUUUAUUGAAUUCUUUCUUAUUAUUUCAUCUUUCACUUCCGUGAGGUAUUGAAAUGUUUCCUCAUGUCUCCAUUUUAUAGAGUUGGUGCAUCUUUAAGUAGUUGUUGGUCAUAACGGCACCUCAUUUGACGACACAGUUUUCCUUACUCUGGUAAGACUCUCAGUUUCUUUUCUUCUGGACCCUCAUCAUUUCCAGCUCAGUACUGGAGGCAGGGAUUAUGACUCAGUGACAGAGCUGUUGUCUAGCAUGGGCAAGGCUCUGUGCUCCGUGACCAGUACUGAAAAAAAUCCAAAGCUGGACAUUUGAUCUAUUAUUAUCAAAAAACCAACAAGGAACUCAAAUUGUUUUGAAACUAUUGCUAUGUGGCAUAACUGCUCUACCUAACUGCAGUACCAGUUAGAGGAGGAGUUUACUUUUUCCUUUGUUACCUUUUUUGACUGUUGUUUUAUUGUUUGGAGUAUAUAUGGUUGCUUGUACAUGUGUGCUUAUGUAUGUGGGCACACAUGUGCAUGUGAGAGUGAGAAAGCUAGAAUUCAAUAUUGAACUUCUUCAAUCAUUUAUAUUUUCUGGUGUAUAGAGUUUAUCUUGUAUAUAGGGUAUGUGUGUAUGUAUGUGUGUGUGUUUGUGUGUGUGUUAUAUGAUGUAUAUGAUAUGUAUGUAUGAAUGCAUGUAUACAUGUUUGUGAAUGUGGCUGUGCAUGAACCUCACCACAUAUGUGGAGGUCAGAGUAUAACUUGUAUGCCAUAUCUACCUUCUGCUUUGAGAUAGAAUCUCUCAUUCCUUAUUGUGUAUGUCUACCGUGAACAUUGAAGGAUUCCCAUUUCUCCACCUCUUCCUUUUGAUAAAAGUGCUGUGAUUAUAGAUGAUCCCACAUGUAUAUAAUAUAUAAUGCGUGUACAUCUAUAUAUACACACACAAUUAUGUAGGCUUUGAGAAUUUGAACUCAGGUCCUCAUGCUUGUGUGGCAAGCUCAUCAUACACAGAGCUAUCUCCCCAGCCCUCUGCCUUACUUUCUGAGGUAAUAUCUCUCACUGAACCUAGAGCUCACCAGCUAGAAGCUCCAGUGAUCUGCUUAUUUCUACUUAAUCAGAAAUGGGAUAGCAGGUGCACUGCCAUGCCCGGCUCUUUUUUCUUUUAAUUGAUGUUUGAGAUGUGGACUUGGGUCCUCAUGCUUGUAUGACAAGCACUUUACUGAGCCAUCUCUCUAACUCCACUCCUGGUUUUAAAAAUAUCAACCAUUAUUACCUUCACAGUUAGAAAAAAUGAAAGUAUCAGCCAGGCUGAUUUGCCCAUCUCCUUUCUUCACUUUCUCUACCUCUCUGCUGCAGACCAAACCUAGAGUCUUGCCAAUGCAAGCACUGUACCACCGAGGGACAUGUGUCUGCAACUUGCCUUCUAGGUUGUGUCGAUCAUACGUUUGAACGGCCCCAGUUAGAGGAAUGUUAUAACAUCAUGCAUGAAAUUGCAUUGAGGAAUCCGAUUGAAGAAUUCCUGCAAACUCGGAGACUAAGGACAAGAGAACACAAUGUUGCUCAAGCAUCAUUUCUCUUUGGAGUCAUUUUACAUAUAUAUAUAUAUAUAUAUGCAUAUAUGUGUGUGUGUGUGUAAAAUCUAAAGGUCUACAUAAACUCUCAGAGAAUGGGAAUGUGAUUUUAUGAUUUAUUGAGUAAAAUUUUUGAACUUUAGAGAUGAGUAAAGGAGGCCAGGCCGCCAUUCUUUGUAAAUGGAAAGUAUAAAUGUGCCAGCUCUACUCUGCACCCUGCAUUUCACCUUCUGGUAAAGGCUAGCAUUGGGGCAAGUCUCAGGGUAAGGACAUCUGUUUUACACAUUACUAAGUAAUUUAGAAAACUGACGAAAGCAUGAUGGUUUAUUUAUCUUAAGCCACAUCAAAAUGGCUGGGUAAAAGUAGCCAGGUCAGAAAGUUCCUGGCACAAAAUGGGUGCAAAAAAACUGGAACUGAUGCAAAAGUGCUGUCCUUUUUAGGGGGCUUUCUUAAAUACCCCCAGUCAAAAUGAAUGGCUGUCCUUCUACUCUCAUAGUCCCCCUUCUGUAUUCUAUUCCAACACUUAUUUUAUAACCAACUAAAUUACUUGUAUGGAUUCUUGUGAAUUCUUUGAGAACAUGAGACAUGCCUUUAUCAUGUUUGCUGGUGACUUAAGUGCCUUGUAGGAAUUAAUUCAUUUAUUUUUAAAAUGUUUGAUUUUUAAACAUACAUUUUAUUUUUAAUCAUAUUUAAAAUAUUUUCAUAUAUAUAUAUAUAUAUAUAUAUAUAUAUAUAUAUAUAUAUAUAUAUAUAUAUAUAUCCAGAUAUUCUGGUGUUGGGUGUUGGGGGCCUCCUGAUGAAAAUAUGUAGUUUCUCCUCUCAUUGAGCCUAAUGAAUAUUUAGUUAUGUACUUUCCUGCUUUCACCUAUUAUUUUGACUUAAAAUAGGAAAAAAUUGUGCAGGAAAGUGUCCAUAUGCUUUUCUUAUUCUAAAGAACAUAACGUUUUCCAAUUUUAAUCACUUCAAAAGAACUCAUGAUUGUAGUAGUUUCUUCACAAUUAUUAAAGAACAUUUUGGUGAUAAUAUAGGUUGAGAAAUUAAGGCCUUAAGUGUGACAUUGUAUCAUGGCAAUCUUAAUUAGAAAUUGUAAUGCAUCGUGGAUAGAGGCAAGGUGAGAAACAGAGAAGAAUGCAUCCUAGAGAAUUUAAACCGUUUCAGGGAUGUGGUGUCCAUAUGAGCAGAUGACGAGAAAGUGGAGGUGUAAGAACAUCUGCUUGAACUGGGUUUCCUACAUUAUGUCUUCUGUAAUUAAUUCAAAGAGAGUUGGAGACACCCAUGGUACGACAUGUAUUCACUUUUGAACUAGAAGCAUACAGGUCAAUAGUUAUUCGCAUUCUGGAUUUAAUAUUUAAGUGUAGUUUUUUAAUAUUUAUAUUUACCCUGUAGAAAUUUUGGUCAAAUUUUCUUGUUCGGUAGCCUUCUUCCUAAAUAAUCUUCAGUGCACUGAUCAUGUUGAGAUUUACUUAUAAAGUGAUUGGUUAAACAUAUCAAUUGAUUGAAAAAUUAUUUUUGCAUUGGAAUUUAAAAACUGGAAUAUUUCAAAAAUGUCAAAGACACAACCAAAAAUUUCCACAGGCUAUCAUGAACUCAUGAUUUUUGUUAAUGAAUAGCAAUUAUUGGCAAUUUUAUUUUCUUACAAGAAUUUUCUUUAACUUGGCACAUUUAAUAAACACAAGGCCAGGUGUGGUGGCACAUGCAUGAAAUCCCAGCACUUGUGAGACAGAGGCAAGAGAACUGGGCUACAUCUCAAAAAUACCCGUGUGUGUGUACAAGAAAAGUAAUUUAUCUCUAACUUCAUUUGUCAAAAUCUUUCCAGAACUCUGUGCCUUUCUGUCCUUAGCAUCUCUUUUACUUAUUCAUCUAAUGGAAUAAAUAUAGUCUAUUAAAUCUUGACUGACUGAAUAGAUUGAUUAUCAAUUGAUAAAACUAAAGUAAAAGUAUACUGAAUCAAUUAGUUGUGAGGUAGAAUCCAGCCAUUAUUAAGGUGAAUUAUAUAUUUGAAUAAAGUCAUCAAUUGCACUAAUUCACUGAAUGGUUUUUAGACCAAAGUGACCUAAAAAUAUACUUGGACAUGAAAAAGUAGACUUAGAUGCUUUUAUCAGUAGAACAAUUAUUUGCUAGAGACAACUAAAAUUAAAAUUGGUUUAUUUGAUAACUAAAUUAAUAAUUAGAAAUAAAUAAAUUAGAAAGCACUUGCAAAAUUGGACAUUUUACAUCUACUUUGAAUAAAUGAAUUUUAAAGGAAUAACAAUGAAAAGUCCGAGAAGUUUGAAGCUUAAAAGGAGCCCCUUAGCCCCUACUGAGUCCUUACUCUAUCUGCAGGCCCAUUGGUCUGGUGAAUUCAGGGCUCAUGCUUUACUUUUCUUUUGAGAGAGUUCAGUUUUCCAAAGGCAACAACAGCAACUUUCUGUUGGGCACUGUCUCAUUCCUGGAACCAGAUGAAAAAGUUAAAAUUAGUUAUUGGGAAUUGUGUGUGAUCUACAGAAGCAACCAAAAUAGCUCAUUUCAAAAGUAACAUCAGAAAUAAAUGUGUUAGGGGAGGGCAGAGAAAAAAAACACAUGUACUAAAAAUAUACUUAGAAUUCGCUGCAAGUGUCAUAAAGUCAAUUUUAACAGACUGUUAGAAACCAAAACAAUGUUCCUCUAUCUGCUGUCAGUUGAGUGAUUCUCAUAGAGGUGAGGCAAUCUGAGUUAAGCUAACAGAGUGACCUUUCAUCUUCUUGUCAGGUUUUUUUUUUGACAUAAAACUAUUUAAUGCACUCCUUUCUCUCCAUUUUGAGGUUUGUCCAUCCAGAAGUUAAAAUAAGAGGCAUUUUUUAUCCGUUAAAAUCUCCCUUAACUCUUAACCUACAUAAAGCUCUGCCUUUCACAGUCCCCUUUGUUUCAAGACCACACAACAAUCUUCCACCUCUGGGAGUCUGAGGCUUUAAGGUCAACACGGACCACCGAGUCCCUGUACACUGAAAAUUCAUGUGUAAAAAUUAUUAAUCUAUUUGCUUUCUGAAUACCACUCACCCUACUCUUUCUUUUUCUUCAGUUCUAAGUUAAAAAUCUUGAUGGUCUCUUCUGAAGAGGUUUGGGAAACUCAGUACAUAGUCAUGGCUGAACUGGCAUAAGGGGGGGGGUGAGUUACUCUCAUCUACAACUCUAAGACAAUGAACUGAAAAGCACAGGACAGUCAUCGUGCAUUCUCUGCUGCUAUUGCUGGAUGAAGGAAGCUUUCACAAUUGGUUUUCUCAUCAAGCAAGAAAGCUCAGUAGGGAUUAGGAAAGAGUUUUUGAGGAAACCUUCAUAUCACACCUCUCUCUCUCUCUCUCUCUCUCUCUCUCUCUCUCUCUCUCUGUGUGUGUGUGGGGGGGGGGCUUUUACAUUGGAACCAUGUAAACCUGGUUACUAGAAAAGAAGCAGUUUCAAAAUUAAUGAAAAUAUACUUAAUCUCAAAGACCAGAUGGCACACCUGGAGUGUUGGAAUGCUCUCAAGCAUUGACCGUGUAUGUUACAGUUUGAGGCUGAGAAUAAUGUUUAGAGGCAAUUCUUUCUCUGAGCAUGCUAUAGUUCAAUUCUUAGGGUCUGGGCAGCCAUAAAGCUUGUACAGCUUAUGUCUUUACUUUAUGGAUAACUUGACAGGCACAACCAUAAUCAAGUAUCAGAUAACUGUAAGCAUUAGUUGGCAUCGAAGAAUCUAUGAUGUGCUAGGGUAAUAUUUUAAUUACUUCAUCUGAAUUUUCUCACUAACCUUCAAUAAAGCCCAAAGAAAUAUCAUUAUUAAUUCCAUGUUACAGAUGAAGAAUGUGAUAAAAACAUAGUCCCUGAUCAGAUGACUGAUCCAGGAUUCAAAUCCAAAGCAGGCUGUCUCCACACACAGUCACCUCAUAUUAAUUACCACUAAAACCACAAGUCUGCAUUUACAAAAUUAUUUUUCCACACAUUAUUUGUACAUAAGACUAUUUGUAUCAACUUAGCCCAGAAUGUAUAAUAGCUUAGGAGUUAUGUAAUGCAUAAAAUACAGGUGAUAUUAUUUUUCUAAAUGAGGAGACAUGUACACAUAUAAAUCAUGAUGCAGGGUAGAUAGGACUGUAUACUAAGUUUCCUGACUCAUGUAAUUAUUUGACAAUUCUUGCAAGGUCUGUGAGGCAAAAUUAAGUGAAAGAGAAUCUGAGGAUAAUUGAAUGUGUAGUAAUAUUGUUCCAAUGCCAUUAGAAGAUACUGCUAGAUCUUUAGUAGGAUUUGAGAUAAAACCAUUUUACUUGCUGGUACCACACAAAUGAAUGGGAUGAAUUUUUACCAUCAAGAAACUUGCAGUGUACAUGGAGAAUAAACUAGGGUUACAGUGGUAUGACCCAUACUACAGUGAGAAUUGAGGCAUGCAGAGAGCACAUUAUAAAUGGUCUUGGGUAUUAUUCAUAAAAGCUUCAUGUGUUUAUCCCCAAAACAAUGCAGAACCAUUUUCCUAAUGCAGUAAUCUUAUUAAAUCUGCAGGAAAAAUUCACUCUAAGUAGAGCGAGCAGAUUGGAGAAAAAUGAGAUUAUAUGCUUCCAACUUUGAUCUUUUCCUGGUUUUUAUUACAUAACCAACAACUCUCUUAUUUAUUAGUAUCUUUAUCUAUCCAAAUAUAUUGAUAUGUCUAUUAUCUUUGCUCAAUGUAAUAAAUAAAAUAACUACCUUCAACGACCUCAAAGCCCAGCUGCAGAAACAUUUAUUGCAAACAUAUAGAUAGAUAGCAAUAUAGCCACAAGUAUAUUUUUCUUGUCCUAUAUGCAAUCAUAAAGAAACUAAUGUUCCAAGUCUACCCUUUGGAAUGUAGCCCCUCCUUGAGAACACACAAGUGUGUCUUUUUGCCUAUAUUCUAGAACAAAGUGCAAAUAGACAGUAAGAGCUCAGUAGAAAGGUUUUGUUGUAGUUCAGUGUCUAGUAUUUCCACUGACCAUAAGCCCCGUAGUGGCAGCUCAGAGCUUAGAUCUGUUCCCACUUCGUUCUUAUUUCAGAUAACCUUUUGACCUCUUGGUAAAUUAACUGUGUGAAAUUGUGUUAAAAUAUUUUUAUGGCUCAUUCUUUUCUUCUUAACAUAAUAUAGAGAGUGGUUGGAAAUUUUCAGUCACACAUUGAGUAAGACCUGAUUUCAGAUGCCCAGAUCUGUGACCUUAUUCCUCUGGCUUUGAAAGCCUUGUUAGAUAGGUUUCAUGCUACAUAAAUUGAAAAUCCUUAGGAGUUUUAAAGGAUGGUAAGAAUCAAGUUCAUCUAUUUUCCAAUAUCAAGUUGAUAUUCAGUAGAGGAAUUUCAGCUGGACACAGAGAGAACUGAACUUACUGUCUUCGACUUAGUAAUAGCCCUUUGGGAAGGCUUUGGAGGACUCCUCAAAGAAAUCUGCUCAAAAUCUGCCCUGGAAACCUUUCAUUCGUGCUCGGUACUGGAAAAGACCUUUGGUUAUGGACAACUGCUUUCAUUUUGUCCUGGUUCAAAGGCGUUCACCACAGUCCUGCAACUUGUGACUCCAACUUCCCUUUCAUUUGUAGCCAAAUGGUAGUUGUUGACCUCAAGCAGUUUUCCAAACCUUUCAAUACAAAGGCUGUAUCAUAUCCUGAGUUUCCAUGCAAAAGGAUAAAGAUGGUUAAAACUUAGGGGUGUACAUUUAAUGAAAACCAAUAUUUUUAACUUAAAGAAUUAUCAUUGUAUAACCCUUUGUUAUCAGGGGAGCCUCUAGUGUUCAUAUUGCCAUUGGUGUUUUCUGAGUUGCUGUAUGCUCUGUUAGGGGAGAAGUAGUUCCCACCUCUCAUGCAUAAUUACAUAAGGGAACUUAGUAGGUGACUUGAGAAGGAGGGAAGAAAGAUAGAGGUUGAGAGAGGGGCAAGGGAGGGAGGAGGAGGGAAGGGAAGGGAGAAGGGAGGGAGGGAGAGAGGAGAGAUUUUUCUAUAACUCAAUAGAAAGUUAAGGAAUUCUGAAGUCUAGCAGGAAUGUUGAAAUUAGGUUAUAGUAAGCAAACAACAAAAUCUUGUUGCCAUUAUACAAACUAUUCCUAAAUCCUGUCUUGCUGUUUGACAAAAAAAAAAAUUGCUUCUGAUAGUCAUUCCAGUUCCAGGUGACUGACCCUAAACUCCAAGAGUAGGAGGGGAGGGAGAUGAAGCAAGGUGUUGUUUUUGACAGCAGUUCAAGCCUGAUUCAAGAUGUCUUCAUCUCUGCCCAGCUGUCAAAAGCACAAGAUUCAUUUCAUUGGACUAUAUUUGAUUGUAGAUCUGAAGUGGCAAGAUGUCUGGGAGCUGGCACGAGAGGACAAUCUCAGAGGGUGCAUCACCCAAGUUACUUUACAAGCACAGCACAGUAUUUGUCAUGUGUUGUAAAUAGUCAUUUUCAAGUUCUAAAUUGAGACUACUAAGGAUAUUAAGCAAAAGUAAUAUUAUAAGAUUUGAAUUAUUUCCUAACUCAGAGAAAUAGUUGAUAUUUUUAAUUUGAUUUGAAAGUACAUUACCCAAUUUCCUUCAUGGUAUGUCAAAAUUAUUACAGUGAUAUGCACAACCAUUUCAUACAUUUUAGAGUACUAACCAAACAGUCAUUUUGCAGUACAGAAUCUAUGACAACUUGAGUUUUGUUUAGAGGCUUCUGCCAACUCAACAUUUCGGGGGAUAAGACCCAGUAAUUUAUUUAAUCAUAGGAAGCCUGUAGGAGCUGACAUUUGCAGCUCAGAAAAUCCAAGAACAUUGGAAAGCUGAGAUGAAAUUUCAAAGGAAGACUAUAUAGUGGGGAAUUUUGCUAGGAAGCAAAAAUACUGUUGUUUAGUGUGUAGAUAAGUGUAUAAUUAUUUACAUAUCUACUUUAUAUGAUACUAAAGCAUGUUCUUAAGAUCUUUAGAUCACAGAUUUUCAGAAUUGAUAGAACUUUUAAUAGUUAAGUAUCAAGGCUAUUUACUUUCUUAACCCCAUGUUUGAUUUACAAUUAUAACUUCCUUUCAUGAUAGUAAUCUAGGGUCAAAAAAGUCUUUCUUUCCUUCUUUCUUUCUUUCUUUCUUUCUUUCUUUCUUUCUUUCUUUCAGAAAGCAUAGUUUUGUUUAAAUAAUAUGGUUUAGAGUUAGAUAGACAUGAAUUUAUGUCUAGGAUCCACACUUCACUGGAUAAUAUGAAAGGUGCUUUCUCUUAGUUUGGACUUCAGUUAGCAAAUUCUUUCAUACAUGUGCCUUUAAAUGGGUUCAAAGAAUGAUUCAAGAUAUCAUAACAAUCUUCUUUUAAAAAGAUGUUAUUUUAUACUUUUAGAGAAUGUUUCUUGAAUGCUUCUCAUGUUUACACUUUAGGAUAAAGUAGGUUGGGAAAUUAUGUACACUCGAUAUUUCACUCCAGACUAUGUUCCCUUUUAAUAAACAGCAAUCAAGAUCAUUCCAUGUUUAAUUUCCAUAGUUACUGUGCUAUGAGCCUAGUAAUCAAUAUUUUAAUUUUUAUAGUACAUGUAAUACUUCAACUGAAAACCUAGAUUUAAAAUUAAGACCUAGUACUGAGUACUGGCAGAGAAGCAUUAUUUAACUGUGUUAAAAAAAAAAACCCUUAGCUAUUGUUUGUUAUUGACUUAAUAUCUUCCAAGCUGAGUGUACUCCUUUCAUAACCAUACUUAAUCAGUUCUAUAGUGUGCCAGUGUCUUCAAAGAUCUCAAGUCAUGAGGCUGUCCCAGUUAUGGCUGUUUUUUAACAGUAGAAAGAGCAUCAUCUUAUUUUGUUUCUGCAGCUUUGCUCAUGCUGUGCCCAAAACUUGGAAUGCCAUUUCAUUCUCCUCUGAUUCAACGUAAAUCCCAUCCAUUCUUCAGGGUAAUAUUCAGUUUCAGCUUCCAUCAUGAAGCCUUUCUUGGUCGUUCCAAAACAUGAUGCUCUUUCCAAACACAUGGAAUUGAUCAUACACAUAAUAACAUUUACCCCACUCAUUAUGAAAAUCCUUUUAAAGAAAUUUCCCAUGUGUGGAAUACCUACUAUGUGCCAAAUUCUAUAGGGAACACAAAAAUUGAAUGGCGUCUUGAAAUGUAUGCAUGGACAGAGCUAAUUAUUUGGGCUUAAAACAAAGUCACAUUAAUGGAUUAGCAUGAAUCCAUCACUGGCUUCUAUCAAUAGUUACACACUUAUGAGAAGCAUGAGCAGUUUUGAUCUGACAUGAAAGGGAGACAUAUUUGUAAGGGAGCUUGAAACAAAGCUGGAGAGACUUGAAGAUGUCCUAAGUCUAAAGAUUCCAAUAACAAGGAAAAGGCUCUACAGAGGGAAAUAAUUGUAUAUAGAAAAAGAGGCAAGAGAGAUGUCUGGUAUUUGUGCUCAUAUAGAAUGAGCUUGUAGGUCAUCAUUCUCAUCCACAUAGCCAGAAAAAAAAUUUUAAAAAUCAAUUCUUCUUACAUGUACCAGAGAACUGAAGUCCCAGAGAAAAGUACAUUCCUCUAGUUGGACAGAUGGGCAGAUACAGACGACCUUGGCUCAUAAGAUCAGAAAUCUAGGAGCAAAAUAUCACCAUUAGAGCCAGUUGUGGGGUAGGAAAACAAACUUGAGUUGAUAAAUUGCUAGAGGCUCAGAAUAGACAAGCGUGAGAAUUAAAAACUCCAACAGAGGCAGUUUUAUUUGUAUGAGUUUUAGCCACAGGAUCUGUUCGAGGUUCUGCAGUAAAGAUAGGAAAAAAAUCCCCUUGUUUUUUUCCCCACAAGGAGUGGGCAAGAUUAACUAUUUGGAAAUAUACUCAGAGCAUUCUAACUAUACUUAUGGCCUACAGUCCAGGGAAGCUGUUCUGUCAGAGCAUGACUGAAUGAGGUUUUAUGAGUGCCCAGCUGACUUUGGAAGAGAUAAAUACUCAGCUCCAAUCCCCUUUUAUCCUUCCUGUGUCAUUGAAACAGGGGGUGGGGGAAAAUCAACCUGAGGAGCACUUAUGAAGGCGAUACAGGCUGACACAAAGAUUGAGACCAUGUUAUAGGACGGCAGCAUACUUCUCACUACAUCAGCAAGAAUUCUGAGUAACAGGAGACAAUUGGGAAAUAUCUAGAGAAACCUGGAGGUUAUGUAUCACUGGUAGACCUUUCUUACAAGAGGGGUUGAAAAACAUUCUUCAGAAAUAGAUGAAAUAAUGUAGUAAAACAUAUGGAUCUCUGUGAAGAAAGGAAGAUUAUUAUAGGGUGAGUAUAUAGAGGUAAUUUUUUUUCAUUUUUUAUUUCCUCAAGUAUAUGGUUUUUUUAAUUUAUUCUUCCCCCAUAUACUUAAAUAUUCCCAAAAGUUCAUUCUUAAUUAUCAUUUUUCUACUAGGUGUAUAUCAACAUUAUAAUUGGUGAUUAUCGUAUAGGUAGGCAAAAAGAAUGACAUUAGUAUUAUAAGGAAUGAGAGGAAUAAUUUGAGAAUCUUGUUAUGAUUGUAAUACUUGUGAAGUGGUACAGUGUUAAUUGAAAAUGGAGUCUGAUCAGUUAGGAAUGUAUGUUAUAACAUCAGUGGCAAACACUAAAAUAUAAGACUGGAAUUUAGUUAGUGAAAACCCCUGGGUUCUCUCUCCAGGAAUAAGAAAAAAAUAUAGCUUACAUGUUGAAAAAUGAAAUGAAAUAAUAUAUGAUAUACUAUAGGCAUAAAUGGAGUAGAAGAAAAAUGAGACCAAGAGCAAGGAAGCACAUAGAAUGGAGAAAUAGUAAAAAGUGUGGUAGAUACUCAUUCAACUUUACCAGCAGGGGUUUCAACAUCAAUAGGUCUAAGCACUCCCAAUUAAAAGUCAGCUGGGGCUGGAGAGAUGCUCAGUGCUUAAAAUGCAUGUGCUGCUCUUGGAGUAGACCUAUGUUCAGUUCCUCAUACCAACAUUAGUCAGCUUAUAACUGCCUGUAACUGCACUUCCAGGAGUGUUCAACUCCUCUGGACUACACAGGCUUCUGUACUUGUGUGCUCAUAUCCACAUAAAUACAUACUACUUAAAAAUAAAAGAAAAUCUUUAAAAGUCAGAUUGUCAUUUUAGUUCAAAAAACAAGAUUAAAAAAUAAGCACUUCUGUAAUUAUAUUUCAAGUUUAUUAUUUCUUGAUAGAUUCAGUAGGCAAAAAAAUGUGCAAAAAUAUCGUAGAACUAAAAAGGACCACCAAUCAACUAGAUCUUGCUAACAUCUAUAUGAUACAUCAACAACAGAGUAUGUUUCAAUUUAUAGAUAUCAAAGAAUACCAUACGGUUCACUUUCAGGAUAUAAAGGGAAUUAUAUUAAGUUUUAAAGAAUAGAAACCAUACAAUGUAUGCUUUCAGACAGUAAUAUGAUUAAAAUAGAGAUGAACAACAAAAUGAUAGUUGAAAAAUAUCCACAAAUAUUUGGACAGUAAAGAACACAAUUCUAAAUAACAUGUAGGUCAAAUAUUAGGUUUUCAGAAGAAAGAAAAAUACUUUGCAUUAGAUGAAAAUAAAAAAAAAUAGAACUUAUAUCAGGGCUUGUGGGAUUCAGCCAGUGCUGAAUUUGUAGACACAUUUAUAGUACUAAAUGCUAAAUAGUAUUUAAAAAACAUUUUUAAAUCUAUAAUUUAAAAAAAGUUUUAAAAUCUAUAGCUUAAGUUUCUUCCAUAGGAAACUAUUCAAAGAGUGAAUGAUAUCCAAAGAAAUAAAAAUAAAUAGAUAAUAAAAAUUAGAGAAAUAAAUGAAAUUAAAAAGCUGGAAAUAAAUGGACAAAAUUAAAUGAAGUUGAAUAGUAUUUCUUAGAAAAGAUUAAUAAACUUGAUAAUCAUGCAGCCAGAUCAGAUAACAAAAAUGGUACAUAUAUACAAUGGAAUAUUAUCCAGCAACAAAGAAUAAUGAAAUCACAUCAUUUUCAGGAAAAUGGAUAGAACUGGCAAUUAUAUUAAGUAUGGUAAUCCAAGUUUAUAAAGACAAAUAUCAUAUUUUCUCUGAGAUACAAAGUAUAGAUUUUAAAGCAAAGACAGAAAGUAGAAAGGGAACUACUUGGGAAGAGGAGGAGGACCAGCAGGAGAUGGGGGAUGGUUGGAUAUGAGAGGACAACAGAGGAUGAACAAGAAGGAUUUAAAUAUGUUAUUGACGUGUACAAAGAUGUUAUAAUGAAUAUUACUUUGUGCAAUUAAUAUAUAUUCAUAGAAAGUUCAGAUAAAAAUAUGAAAGAAAAUCCUCAAAUGACUGAAAUAUGAAAUUAAGAAGGGGCAAAGCAAUGGGUUUCAUGGAUAGUAAAAGGAUAGUAAGGAAAUACUAUAACCACAAAUAUGAUAACCUCAAUGAAAUGGACCAUUCCCCAAAUGACAAUCUACCAAACCCUUUAAUACCUAGUUUAACUAAAAUUUUAAUUCAAAAAAGACAAAUAAAUCAAAUUUAAAAAUAUCAAAACUCAAAGGGAAUUGAUUAUUUUUAUAAGCCUCUAUCUACUCAGAAAAUUAGUUUGAUAAUUAUCUCCCCAAAAGUAUUAAAUCAAGGUGAAUUGAUGGGUCAAUUUAUCAAAAUUUCCCAUAGAAGAACCUAUACCAAUUCUGUAAAGGUCACCUAAGAAAGGAAAAAAAAAGCAGAAAGAUGUGUUCUGAUUCAUUUCAUAAUUCAGUGUUAGGCGUGCCAGAAAGAAGGCAGGGCCAUUACUUAAUAGUGCCAAGUUCUGGUCUUGACCUCAGCUACUUUCCCGUAUAUGCAAAUCACUAACUCUCUUUCAGCUUCAGUUCUUAUUGGUAAAGUUCAGGUAAUAAGCUAGACAUGGAGGCACACAUCUGUGAUCCAAGGACUCAGAAGGUAGAGGGAGGAAAGUCAGAAUUUCAAGGCCAAUAGGCUACAUGAUACCUUGUCUCCAUAAAAAGUAUAUUUGAUGAAAGUGCUAUGAAUUGGAUUGUGCCCUCCUCCAAAUUCAUAGUUUGAUGCUCUAACCUUGAUGUGUCUGUAUUUGGAAAUAGAGGUUUUUAGGGAGGUAAUUAAGGUUAAAUGAGAUCAUAUUAGUGGAACCCUAAUUUAUUAGAACUGCUAUCUUUAUAAGAAGAGAAGAGACAUCAGAUCUCUCUCUCCCCCUCUUUCCCUUUCCCUCUCUCCUUCCCCCCUCUCCCUCUCUCCCUUUUUCUCCUCCCCUCCUCUCUCUGCAUGAAUACAGAGGAAAGGACAUUUGAGGACACAGUGAGAAGACGAUGGUUAUCCACAAGCCAGAAAAAGAAGCCUCACCAGAAACCAAUCCUGACACCCUGAGUUUGGGUUUUCAGCCCCUACAACUGUGAGACAAUGAAUGUCUUCUUUACAGCACAGUCUAUGAUAUCUUGUUGUGAUAGACUAAGGAGACUAAUCUAACUAUUCUUUAAUAUUGGGAACAUUACUUAGAAGCAAAUGAUCUUCGAAAAUGGUAAAGUUAUCGGUGUUUGCUAUUCUCAUUCUUCCUUUUCCACCGUUGAGCCGUUGAAAACAAUGAUAGGUAACUUACACUGCAUUCCUGGCAUUCAUUUCUCUUUAGCUUUCAGUAUUUGAUUUCUGACACUAUGGUUAAGGUCUGACAAACAUUCUCUUGAUAAUACACUACAGAGCGUUAGAGACAGUUCCAAAUUUCCAUCCAAAGAGAAUAUGCUAAGCUUGGAUGGUGUCAAUGGAGCACUCUGACCUGUGAAGCAUCAUUAGUUUGAAGGCUUUCUUUGUGAUACUCUUUAGAUCUCAGUUUGGAACUGAGUUACAGACUAGAUCAUAUCUCUUCAUUCUCUCCAUUUGAUCUUUCUUUCCUCAUUAAUUCCAAAGUAUGCAAGCUAUAUGCUUUCUAGUGUUUUUUUCCCUUCACAGCCAUUAUCUAGGCACCAAAAACAGAGAUGGAAAGAGACAGGUUUAAUCCAAAGCACCAGUUUCCAUUACCUUAAGCUGCCUCAAUGAUUUUUCUGCUGGGAUGAAAUUCCUUACACUUGGUCUCAGGCCCAAGGUAUAUGCAAUACGUCAAUGAAAUUGCUUGCGACACAUUGACGGGAGUGCCUGGGAACCAUGAGUUUCUUAACUAUUUAAAAAAAAGAGACUCAGAACUUCUUGUAAAGGCACCAAAUACAGAGUUUUCACUUGCCAUGAAGAUCUACCCUGAUGUUGAAAGUGUUUUGUUCUGUGACAGACAAAAAGAUACAUACUCAUAGCCUAUGUCAAAAUGUGUGUUCCACAAGCUUCAUGCAAAACCCUUCACAUUAUGGUGCUAGCCUCCCUCUCCACUCUAUCUCCUGUUACACUGUCGACUUCAGUUGAGUUGACUUCUGUAUUUGUUUCUUUGCAGUGUAGUUCUUGACCACAUAGUAGGCCUUGGGACUACCCCACAGGGUCUUCUUCCACACAUGCCAAAGCUCUUGGGCUCAGAGGGGGAACCUUUUAAAGUGUCUCAUGUGGCUAAAGGCACUAGAGAAGCUUGUUUCUCAUAGAGAAGACCCACCUGAGGAAUUCCAUUUAUGACAGCCUCAUAGAAGGAAUAAGGACCAGGGAGAAACCUUCUGCCACAUGCGGUAUUAAGUCCUGUGUUCUAGCUCUCUUGGGUUUGUGCAAUUACCUUUUUUGGACCAUUACACAGAUAUGACUUUUCUACUUCACCAUAGGGAAGAGUUUAGCAAACUCAAGGAUUGAAAUACAAGCAGCAAUGAAUUUUCUCUCAGCAGUGAAUGUUUGUCCCUGAGCAAGAUGUUUGGCUUUCAUAAAAAGAAACCCAGAAAGCUGUGGAAAAUGCUGACGUCCAGCACACACAUAUGCAAAGGUCUCUUUCACCUUUCAUCAUCUGGGAAUAAUGGCUGCUCAAGUUCUACCUAUUUCCCUUGAUGUCCCAGUUGACAGGAAGAUCCUUGGUGUAAAAGAGAUAUGGAUAUCCUGGCAGAGACAAGAGAAAGGUGUUAAAGAAUGUGGGCCAAGGGGUUCGGCAUAUCAAGGGGAUGUGAGAUCAUUGCUAUUUUGACUUUGGCUCUUUAGUACUGUGCCCUAUUGAUAGCUGGGCCUGGGCCUCCAGGGGUCUCCAAAGUAAAGGAUAGGAUGAGAUACAUGAUGAAGGGGAAGGAAGGCUGCUUCCCAAAUGGAGGUUUGGUGUUUGGAGGUGGGAUGUUUGUAAGGUCAAGAUAAUAUCCCUAGAUUCUAGUCCUAGAUCUGCUCUUGACUUUAAUGUAUUACCUUGGGUAAGACAUUUCUAGGUUUUGGAUCUCAGUUUCUUUAUAUCUUUUUAAAAAAUGGGCUGGAGGCCAGAUGUGUCUCUCCACAUCCAUAAUCACAACGCUUGGUAGGCAGAGGCAGGUGUUAGUCGAAGAUAGUCUAUAUAGUGAGUUUCAGGCCAGUCAGGAAUAUACAGUGAGACCUUGUCUCAAAAUAAAAAAUAAAGAAUGGUUUGAGGCAGCGAAUGUAACCCACUUGGUAGAGUGCUUACCUACCAUGCACAAUGCUCUGGGUCCUAACCCCAAUGCUAUAUAAACAAGGCAUGGUAGUACAUGCCUGUCUGUAAUCCCAGCUCUUAGGUGGUAAUGGCAAGAGAAUCAGAGGUUCAAGGUUCAGCUACACUUUAAGUUUGGGAACAUCCUAGGAUAUAUGAGACCUUGUCUUAAAAACAAAGAAAAAGUUCAGUUUAUCUUUGAGGUACCUUCUCGCACUGACCUUCAGUAUUUUUUGGACCCUCAAAUUGUCUAGAGAAGGAGCAAAUGGCAAGAUCAUUAAAUUUAGACUGGUAGUUAUAGACUAUGAAAAGAAUAAAAGAAAAACAUUUAAAGUACAAAACCACCAAGUAUAUCAUGUUAUUGGAAUUCUACUGUGUGUAUUGCCCACUAUAAGUAUUGUGUGGUCUUGUUCCUAGGGAACAGUUGAAGUGUCUUGGGAAACAGCAUUUUCAUUCUUUCAGUUAUAUCUCCUAAAUUGCUCAUUCAACCAGAAAGGGCUUCACCAAGUUUUUUCAACAGGAACAAGUGUCAAAUUUUUGUUUUCGAAAAUAUGGUCACCAUAACUCUGUAGCACUCUCCUGAUCUCCCUUUCUAGGUUUUUCUCAUAUGUGGCUAGUUUUCUGUCUAUGUAAUAAAUGUCCAAGGAAAUGGAAACUGAUUAAUAUAAUCUGUUGGGAUCAUUUAUUAUUCCCAUCUGACAUGUGUUUGGGAAUAUAAAAGAGUCAUUCUUCAAGAUAGGUAUAACAUGUAUUGUGAUUGCAAUGGAUGAAGAGCCCAGUUAGGUUGCUCUGCUGUAACAUUCUGGAGAUAGAGGGCAGAAGAAACUGGGAAGCAGGAAAAAUUGACAGUGACCUAGCCCUGACCUCUCUCCCAGGUCAGAAAACAAUUUUAAAAUGUAUAUUCUCAUGCUCAGUCUGGCACCCGAAACAUAUUCCUCUUCUCCCCAAGACCUGCUCUUUUUCUGAAUUCACUGUUUAUACUAAUGGCAUUACUGUUUUUCUCUUAUCAAUCACUACCAAUGAUAAAAGUAGCACUUACAUUUUUCUCCUUUGCCCUAAUAAAUCUAGUGGGUUGCUAACUUGUGAUACCGGUCCUUCACCCAUAUUGCACUACUCCACCUUUUAUUAGGCCUUCACUGACUUCUCAUUGCAAAUGUUGUGAUUAACCCUUACCUGGUUAAUUUUCUCCAAGCCUUAUUUACUCCAGUCAAUCAAAACACAGAAUCACAUGUAACCACUAGCAUUCUUUUCUCCCAGUUGCUAGGCUAAGUGUAUAGAGAGGUGAUGUUAGUUUUCAGCAGUACACAUGCAUCUUACUUUGAAGGAAGGGAAGAAGGGGUUGUUUCUCAAGAAUAUAUGGAAGAAAUUUCGGGAGUCCCUACUGAAUUAAGGAAAUACUGUACCUAUGAACUUGAAUGUUCAAGCAGGUCUGACACCUGAGUUCUCCCAUGCCCGUGGCAGACUGGUACUCUUCAUUUCUUUCUGUGAACACUUGAAAUUGCUAAGUGCUUUCUUGUUGCUUUUUACCCCGGAGCCUCAUUUGAUCUUUCUCACAGAUGUUGGGGAUUCAGGGAUUCCCCAUAGGUUUGAGUGUCUCCUUCCUCAUUACUGGCCUUGGCCUCUUCCCACAGCUGUUUCCAUCACUCACAUGGACUUGGCCACGUGGCAGCUUUGUGGAUGGGCUCUUCAGCCAUCUCCCACAAACCCGGGCCAAGAGGUGACAUUCAAUCUAUCCUCAGUGUGUACCUCCAUCCUGCCAAAGCUGUAAAACUGUCUGGGAUUAUAGUCCCUUCCAGUUAUGUGCACGAGGAGGCACUUUCCAAAGGCAUUGAUCAAUUCCCUCAUGAUCUCAUGGCACAGCAGGUAGAGCUCAUGUGGUUUGCAGUAGGAAAGCCAGACCAUAGCAACUAGCCUAGUGCUUCAGGCUCAGAGCCCCUGAAACUCAAGUCACAGGACUCGUGAAGUCCACUGGGUGUUUUGGAACCCAUCCCAAACACAAUUAAAUAUUCAGGCAAAGGGAGAGAGAAUGCUUAGAAUACAAAUGGCCUAGCUCAAUGGGGGUUAUGGGGUGACCUAUCUAACUGGCGUUCCUCCCCCAGUCACCACAGCUUUGCCAUCUUCUCAGUGGGCCUGCUGGAGUCAGGCUUGUCUGUGUCCAGGGGCAGCUCUAGUGGGCUUGCCCAGUAUCCCAGGCAUGUGCAACACUUCCACCUAACUCAAACCACAUGCAGAAGAUCAUGUCAUAGUUGGCGCAUAACCAAUCGAGAAAGGCAUCAGAGGGUGUCCAGACCUCAGCUUGUUUGAACAAAUGUUCAAAAAACAUUUCUGAAGGGAUAUUCCAGAAAAACAUACUCACUCAAGGUCUUAAAACAGAUGUUCAGGCUCUAGGACUGGGCUGCUUUGCAGCUACUAUUAUCAAAUACAAUAAGGCAGGACCAAAUCGCUUUAAGGGUGGGAAGAGGGUGUAUGUUUAGCUUUCUUUCGCAUCUUUAUUGUCAGCCAUGGAAGGAUGUGUCAGAAGGCAGAACAUAAUACUGAGAGGCGACAUGCUAUUGUGAUUCAAUCUCUGGCAUAAAAGGAAGGCAGGCAAAGGCUUUGACCCCUGACUGGCUUGGUGUGUUAACCUAUCAAAGUAUCACUUUGUUAAACUACAAAGCUAAUGGCAACAGUGCUAAUGCUACAGUUUUGUCAGGUGAACUCAAAAAUUGCAUUUAAAGAGAGUGUAUACCAUGUAUUAAGCACUCAGCAAUACAACAUGGUUAUCAGCACCGUCACCAGCAGAGCUUUGAUACUAUUAGCACGGCUGCCCCUGUUAUCACUAGGACAGGAAGCAGGAUUUAUUGCCAAGUUACAUGGGGAGCCGCAGAGGGCCUCAGCUUUGUUCUUCUUCUAGCUUACGGAGAAGGUAAGCAUGCCGAGAAAGAAGAUUGCAGGACUAUAAUUCUGGAUUGAAAAGAAAAGAAUGAGAGCAGUGUAGAGCUCUUACAGUUUGUUUUCCUCAUCUCAGACCAAAGCUCUACCAUCCUUCAUUAGUUUCCUGUGUAACCUAGCUCAAACCACUUUAGAUAAUGGUGUUUCACUGGUUCCCCUUGAAAGUAAAACCCUGGGGCACUUGUUUCCAGGCAAGCUGACAUGUAUUAGAGGAUAGUCUGUGAAUGGAAUGUGUAAGAGCAACUGGUCCAAAACAGGCAAAGCACUAACUUUUUUUUAACACUUCUCAGCUAACCAGCUCACAAUCUAGGCGUAUGCUAUAAGCACCACCAGAAUCUUUUUUAGCUACUGGCAAACAGUGAUAUCCUGGGCUCACUGCUAGAAGGUAAAUUUUCUACAUAAUCAUCACCCUUGUAUUUCACUGUUCCACUAACACUUACUGUGUCAUGAUAUCUAUUUUCUUAUGUGGGAGGUAUGACCCCAGGGACUUGUAUAUGCUAUCCAAGUGCUCUAUUACUCAGCAACAUCCCAAGAUAGAUCUGUAAUAACUCUUUAAUGAAGUUUAUCCAUCUAUUCAUACAUGCAUCACCACCCUCCCUCUACAUCCAUUCAUUUACUAUUCAACAGAUGUUUGUUGAGCAAUGACAACAUCCAAAACAUGGCUAUAAGUGCUAGGAAUAAGGCAGUGAAUUGCUGUCAUGAAGCUUCCAGUCUAGCUGCCUAGUCUGGCCAAGAUAAACGUAUCAUGGAAGUUUACUGGCAAAGUUUAGACUAGAUUUUUGAAACAAAUAUUAGAUAGUACUUUUUUUUAAAAAGUGGACAUGUCUUUAGGGUGCUUGGGUAGAGAGUGAAAGACUGUCUCGCGUCCAGCCUGAGCAGAGGUUCUAGGGGUGGCCUGGGUAAUGUGGCUGCAUUUUGAUUUCUAUGAUGAACCUAGUUGAUUCAAAUUGUAUAGUUACUAUGCUGUAUAGCUGUUUUAAAAUGUGAUAAGAAAAGAAUGUGAUUUUGUUACUGUCUCACUCAUAAACUGGCUCAGAAGGCAGUUCUCAAAGCAGCAUUUCAAAACCAUUCUGAACAAUGGCAACAUCAGAAUACCUUCUCAAGGGGACUGCUUCAGACAGUGCAGUACAUAUCUUGAGUGUACAAAUCCUAAUCUAUUUAAAAAUAAAUAUUACUAGUAAGUACAUAAUUUGUUCAAAAGCAGUGAAAAGAAAGAAAUGUAGACCUACAUGUUUUAAUUCAUUUUUAAAUACUUAAUGCAUUAUGUGUUUGGAUGUGUGAUUGCUAUAAAAUUAAUUCACUUUAAAAAUAAUGAAAGGAGUUUUUCUUGGCACUUUUUUUAGUCACUUCUUGCAUAGUCUUCUGCAUGUGAGUCUUCAAAGUGAACAGCCCAGUUACUUAGCCAUUGUCUGUGAUUUUUUAUAUAAAAAUCUUCCCUUUACGUAGCAGGCUGCAGAAAUGCUGCCUUCUGCUUUGAAGCCAGUGUAUGAUCAAAUUCAAGCUAACUGGUAUUUUUGUUGCAGCGAAAUGUUAAAUCAGGAAUUGUAAACAAUUCCUAGGCAAUGUGUAUAAUGUUGGUAAGUCAUUCCUAGAAAUUGUUCACAAUGCCUGUAACAUAUAUGCAGCUAGCAAGAUUCCUGAAAUACAUAGGAAGCCUUCAAGAAGCUAACUGUGCAUUCCUAGAACAUCUCUGGAUGAUGACAUUUUUUUGUAAUCAAUUUCUACUUAUUUAUAUGUUAAUGUGUCUAGGUGUUAAUAAUUCUGGUAAUAGUAGUACUACUUGAUUUUCAUAGCUCCCAAGGGUUUCAGCAUUAUCUGCCAGUACUUUGGUGAUACAGGGUUUUGGACAUGCUUAUUUUAAGGGGCAUUAGAAAUAAAUUUAAAAAAACCAAUUAGAAGCAAAGGCAAUUACUUGUCAGGUGAGCCAAAGCCUUGUCUAAACUUUCUUACUUCUUUACAAAAGCUUUAGCCAAAGCUUCAUUGCCUUUCUCCCAGCUCACUUCCAACCAAAUUUUGAUAUUCUAAUUCCCUAAGUCAUGACAAAGAAACAAUAAUUUCUAUCAACCUUACUCAGACAUGAUUUUUUUUACCUUUUCCUGUUCACUUAUCUGCUAAUGGGACUUGAUAGUCACAUAAUGUCAUUAUUUAAUAUAUGUACUUGAUUCCUAUUUGUAGUUAUCUAUUUUCAUUUAUGAUUUUGAAAUGAUAUGACUACUGGUUUAUAUUAGCAUUUCUGUGGGUUAUAUCUAUUCUUAAAUCAACUUAGAAAUGAAAACAAAAUGCUGAAAUGAGUUUUGAAUGAGUUUUGGCCUUGAGUUUUAUGAUCAUAUCAAGUCACUGGUUGGGUUUCUUUGCAUGUUGACAGUUAAGUGGAUUCGCUUGACUUCUAUUUGACUAGUGGAAAUGGAUCAUACUGGGAGCCCACACAGAUAAAGCCAGGAAAUGAGCUGGCUAUGUGGGGUUGGGAUGAAGAGCUAUCACAAAAAUGGACAAAGUGUUUUAACAACUGAUCCCAGCAUCUGUAGUGGUGUACAUUGGUCGAUGUAGUAAGAUGCAGCUGGGCAAUAUUUUCUUGUCAUACAAAUGGUCCUUCAAUUUGCUUAGAUGAUGACACUUAACCCCCAAUCUCAUCCCUAUUAUAUCCAGAUAUGACCCAUCUCCCAAGGCCCAACUCAAAUUUGUCAUAGUCCAUCUAGUUGUUUUGGUCCUCUCUGGUGUAUCUUCAUUUAAUGCCUCUAGCCAUUUAAGGUUAAACUGAAUUGCACUGAUCUGUAUACUGUGUAUUUUUCAAGGAUGUCUUACACUUAUGGUGACCAUAUUUUCCAGCCAAAAAUUUAGAACAUAUCAUCUGAAAAUUUAAGUAGGCUAUUUGAAAUCAGUAGUCCUCAGGGAAACACAUGUUUAUUCCCUUCAGUGUCUCAUUGAACAUUCAGCAUUGAGUAUGAUGAUAGGAAGAUGAAGAAAGAGAGACAGUCAUAUUCACUAAGUAGCAAGUAAAAGGAGUGGAUGUUUUUGGAGUGUUUUGUAUGGGCAGGCAUAGCUUAAGUGCUUUGUUACCAUGCCUUGGGAAUAAUUUAUUGGCCCUGAAAAUAAAAAUAAUACAAGAAAGAAGAGAAGCAGCACAAGUACCCAUAGUGGAAGACAUUGUGGAAGGACUGUAUCAUACAAUGCAGCAGGUAAGGGAAGAAGAGGAGGCCUAAUUGUCAGAAAGACAAUUAUAGACGUUCUUCCUAGAAGUUCUUAAAGGUCUGAUUAAACAGAUUUUUCACCAUCCCUGUGUAUCCAAGGUUGAGUGUGUACUGCUGAUCUUUUUGCCUUUACUCCUCAGAUUCUGCCAAUGCUGGGAUUACAGGAGAUGCUCCCAUGCCCAGUACAAGUGUAGGCUUAACAGUAGAAUAUAAACACUGGCUUACCAAUGAACACUAUGCUAUUGUUCAUUGUUCAUUGCUUUACAUUUGCAUUUUGAAGGUUUCGUGUUUCAUCUUGAACUCAGAAUGAAAGACCUGGGCCUGCGUCUUCACAGUCCUUGGUGUUGCAAAGUGAAUCUUUCCAGUCAUGUUGUUGUGCUCUUUGAACCACAUGUGAGGUCUGAUGUAUAGAACAAGCACUUCAGAAUUAUGUAGAAAUAUUUGAGGUAAAAAUGUAAAAACUAAAUACAAAGCUGUUUCUUGGGCUCUCUGACAUGCAAACAAGGCAACUUUCUUUUAAAUCUUUAGGCAUUUUUUUCCUACUUACCACACCUCCAUCCUUAAUUUUAACCUUCAAAUAUACCCUGUUUUUGCCAUAAUGACAGGAGCUGAAAUCUGCCUUCGGUUUCCCUAUACCUCUUUGCCACGAGCUUUAGAUUUCUUCCCUCCUGAGCCUGUUAUAAGCCAUGGAACAAUGUACUGUUAUUCCUCUUCUCCCUGAAAAUGAAAAGGUGGCUCUUCCAGAUGAUGCCAAAAAAGAUGGGAAUGUUACCCCCAGGGUGUGGGUAGAUCAUUUGCAGUGUCAGGAAGAAUAAGCGUACUAUAGUUAGCACUCUCAGACUUUCUAGCAGAGGCUUAUCCCUUCUGAUGGGUCCUCAGGAGGAUGAGUCAGGAGGAAUUACUGCAGUGUGAUCAUUACUGAACUCCUAAUCAAAGGCCAGCUGGGAAGGCCAGCUGAAGGGAACUGACCCUUGCUGGCAUCCAAGCAAGCUGUGGAUUUGGCCGGGUGAAGAACUUGGCUAUGAUGGAAUGAAUCAGGGUUAAUAAAAAAAUGUUAUGCAAGGUUUUACCAAUAGGCUAACACUGUACAUAUGGCAGGCCUGUUCUCUUCUAGUGCUCUCUGACUGGAAGGUAAGACAAAGCAAGAUCAUCACCCGAUGCUUUUGAAACAUAUGGCUAAAAUCUGUUGUGACAUCUCUCAUACAAUAUAGCCAAUGAAUCAGAUUUUCUCUGCAAUUAUUUCAAGAUAUUACUUGGGGCAAGACAAAAGUUAGAGUCUGUUCUUCAUGGAUCUCUUUCUUCUUGGAACAGCCAUAUAUCCUAUGUUCAUGUUUUAUACCCUCUUCUAUCUAUUCUCCAACACUUACCAUACCCUCCCCAUGACAGAAGGCAGGUCUGAAAGAUGUAUUCUUACAGAAUAACAUCCUUUUCAAAAGCCUUAUCACAGAAGCCAUUGGCCAGGUAGGACGCCUCUGUCCUAUUUUCUGGCAGAGUUGCUAAGCUUUCCAGUAUUACUAUCCACUGGAGACUGGGAAGGACUGGGAAGGACUGGGAAGGACUGGGAAGGACUGGGAAGGACUGGGAAGGACUGGGAAGGACUGGGAAGGACUGGGAAGGACUGGAAAGCAGCUGUCCCUAGCAGAAGUCUGCAUUAGGAAACACUUUGCUUGGAAGUUAAGGUGAGAAAUCAUCAGGCAAGGAAAGUGUAUGUUCUUAUGAUCCAAAACAAUUAUAAAGUCACUUUUCCCAAAAGGUACAUUGCAUUAUUUCUUGGACUGUGGGAUUAUGGGGGUGGCAGUAGGAGUGGGGGUGAAACUAGGAUGAGUAACAGUUUUGGAACAUAAAGCCCUACAGUUUUUCCAUUUUCUGUCUAGCUGAGAUGGAAUUAAAGAGAAAAAAAAUGUAAAACUACCUCAAGAAGCUCCCCCAGAACAUUUCCAGUUCUAUGAUUUUUGGGAAAGAAUCUAACAAGAGUCCAAGUUUAAUCUCUUCCUUGUGAAAACUCAGGCUUUCUCUACUUUCUACGAUGUGAUGAGUUUUGUGAGCUUGAAGGAAAUAGAGAACACUCAGCAGUGUCCCGUUUUCUUUCCUUCCUCUGAACUUCAUGUUGUUCACUUUAUGUAGUGACAUCUUGGGAAUAUGGCUGAUAGUCCUAAAAGAUGUAGAUGCCACAGAAAGAAGCAAUCUUAGGUGGGGGGCAGAAGAGAACAUAAGUGAAUUAAUGUGAUCUACAAAAGCAUAAUAGGGGACUAUGGGGGAAAGGAAGAGAACCAACCAGAGAGGGCAGGGAACAGAGGCUAGGGCAGUGGGGCAGGGGGACAGAUAAGAAGAAAGCAUAAUGAUACAUAAGCUAAUGCCAGAAUGAAGUCCAUUACUUUAUAUCCUAAGUUAAAAUUUAACUAAAUGGGGCUGAGCUAGGACCUCUGUAUAUAUGUUACAGUUGUGUAGUUUGAUAUUCUUGUGGGAUUUCUAACAAUGGGAGCAGGGUUGUCUCUGACUCUGUUCCUUGCCUUUGGAACCCUUCCCCCCUACUGGGUUACCUUUCUAAUCUUAAUAGAAGAGAAGGUGGCUAAUCUUACUGCAACUUGAUAUGCCAUGGUUGGUUGAUGUCCACUGAGGCUAGCCCUUUUCUGAGGAGAAAUUGAGGAGGGGUAGAUUGACGGUGGGAUGGGAGGGAAGGACUGGGAGGAAAGAAGAGAGGGGAAACUGGACAGGAUGCAAAAUAAAUAAAAUAAAAAGAAUAUUUCCAAUAAAUAAACAAUUUCUGAAGCUGAAAACAAAACAAAAAUUUAAUUAAUAAAGAAGAAAUACAUUGACAAUCAAUUGGGAGCUCAAAUGUUAGCUCAAAUACUUAUAAGAUCUGUGGUCAUGGAUAACCUACUUAGUUUUCUUACAGCUCAAUCUCCUUGAUUGUAAAGAUAAGUCCUAUCUUUUGGAGUUAUUGGGUUGAUUAAAAUGUCUUGUUCCUUUAUAGAUAGACAUAAAAAUAGAAUUAAUGCUUAAAUGUUUUGUUCUUGUUAGGUGUGGGGGAGAGGAAAUUGAUAAAUGUGGUUUCUUGCAGCCUCUUUCAAAUGAAGAAUUCUGGGUCUUUUAAAAGAAAAUUCAGGUUGGGACUGACAAGAUGGCUUGGUUAGGUAACUUUGCUUGACACUAACUAAGCAUGAUGACCUGAGUGAAAUCCUUAGAACCCAUAAGGUAGAAGGAAAGAACCAACUGCUGCAUGAUGUCCUUUGACCUCCACACAAGUGUCUCCUCCCACAAAAAAAUAAGUAAAAUGUAAUGACCUUUUUAAAUAGAAAAAUUGGGUAUUGCUUCUAGAUAUUUAUUUAAAAGAAUUAUUCAGGGCUGAAUACUACAAAACUUGCCUGGUAUUCACAAGGCCAAGGCCCUCAGUAACCCCCAACAUAUAUUUACACACACACACACACACACACACACACACACACACACACACACACACACAUGCACACUCAUUCUCGAACGUGCACACGAACAGAAAAAGGGGGAAAUAGAAAAGGAAAGAAUUAUUUAUUGGUGAGUUUCCUUGAAUACAUAAAAUAGUUCUGCAUCUAGUCUAGGUCCUAUGACACAGCACAUUUUCAUUUUGUGUUUCUUGAAAUGAAUGAUGAAUAAAUUAUAGAACUUCAUAUACUACAGAUUCUAUCAGUUAUAAGAGAUUUAAAAAUCUCUUGAGGCUAAAUAUAUUCUUGUAAUACUGAGGAAAGAUGGCAUGCCACAUACUAUGUGGUAAAGAGAGGGAACUCAACUAGAAGAAAAGGCUGGGUUUCUAUUUCAGCUUUCCUAUGCUCCACUAGGUAUAGGCUAGUCACUGCAACUCUUAGGUCCUCAUUUAUUCAGUAAAAUCGAGCUAAUGAUAACCUUCAACACUUCUUUCCACAACAGUGACACCUUGUUCUUAUUGGUAGUCUAGAUAACCCAUUUUUAUAGAGUAGUUGUCAAGCCAGUUAGAAGUUUUAAAGUAUCUGUAAGGUCAGAAUAGGUACCAUGAGCCCUUUUAUUCCAGAGUGGUAGCAUUCUUAAUCAUCAGGCUAGGAAUAAGUGAAUUAAAUUGUAUCGGUCACAUUCAGGCAAGAUUCUGUGAAAAUAACCUGACCAAAAGCAUCUUUGGGGAGAGAGGGUCUACUUGCCUUACAGUUCCAACUCCAUCAUUUCAAGGAAGUCAGGAAGCUAGUCUCAUCACAUCCAUAGUCAAAUGGAGAGUAAUUUAGCAAGGCUUUGCCUCAAGAUGUAAUUUUAAAGUGGUUGGAGCUACAACUCAGUGGUAGAGCACUUAGUGCAAAGACCUGCACUUGCCUGCAGUUGAUCCCCAGCGUAAAAGCCUCCUCAGUUGUAAAUUCUUGAGUCCAUACAAGAAUAUGACUUAAAGAUAUAGUAGAGGGUGUAUAUACAGACUGAGACCCUAGCUAGGCUUGGGAAAAUGGGGUCAGUACAAGCAGGCUAGGUUCUAGAGAAAUCGUAACUGGUUCAUAGGCUCUAGAACCUGAGCUGAGCACACUGGAUGUAUGAGGCUGGCAUGGCAUACAGGGAUCUGGACAAAUUCUACAGUUUGUUGAAACAGAGGAUAAGGGACCCAAGCUAUCUAACAAGAAUGGAGAUCACAUGAGCAUUUGGGGAAUCCAGAGCACUUGUCUUAUUAUACCACUGCGCAAGCUUUGUGACCCCAGCUAGAACUGGGAAUGUCAGUAUCACUCAUUCCACUGGGCUGGUGCACUGGCUGUGGAACCAAAGAUAGGACUGGGAAGCAACUACGAGUGUGAGCAUAUGAGGACUGGGAAGCAUACAGGGACCCAGGAAACUCAACAAGCCAGACUGGUACAACAGCUUUUGUGACCACAACUAGACUGGCGAAUGAGGAGACAUAAAUUGAGAGGGAGAGUCUGGAUUACUCAUUAGGCAGUGUUGGGAUAUUUGCUAUGGAAAUCCAGCUAGGCCCGGGAGUGUGGGGAUUACGUGAGCUCAUCGGGAUCUUUGUAGCACUAACAUGCCUGAAUUUAGGAACAAGGCAAUUGACCACACCUAUGCAUACAAAGAUGUGGACGGAGGAGGUGACUGAGGAUCUAGUUGACUCACUAGGCUUGGCCAUAGAACAGUCUGCUGGACAGAAAUAGGACUUCUGGGAGUAUGAAGAUGACAAGUGCAUGAAAAUGAUGAGGGACAAUCACAAAAUCCCCAGCAGGAUAAGCAGGCUGCAGGACCUGCACCUAGACAUGGCACUAUGGUGAUUACAUGAGUACUUAAGAAUCUAUGUCAUUCACCUUGAGCUGGUGCAUAUGCUGUAUGACCCUGAGUACGCCAAAAAGUUUAGGGACAGUGAGUGUGGGUGAAGUUCUAGGGAUAUGUACAAGGCUGUGCUGGUAAGCGUGCAGCAUGUCAGAAAGGCUGAAAACAAACAGGGUAUGUGAAAUCAUAAGCACUCACCAGGAAGCGGUGUUGCAUUGCAUAGGUUUUGAGACUCAAGAUAGGUGUGGAAUAUGGGCACCAUGCUUCCAGGCUGGAAAUUGAGUUGGUUUCUAAGAAAAGUCAGUGUACAGACUACAGGUAAUUAAGGGGUCUGCUAAUGUGGGUGCUGGUGAGAUCACAGCCAAUUCUGGGAUGGGGCACACAAAGGACCCUUUGAAAUAUCAGACUGCAUGGACUCAUGCACAAGCUAUAGUAUACAACCUAGGGCCAUAACUGUGCCCAAGGCGUGGAAAUGUGUGUGUUGGUUUCAUUAGAUUGGUCUACAACACAGAUUUUCAGCAAGAGUAUGAAUUAUGAAAUUAGGGGUAGGCAUGUAAGGAAUUGGAGUUCUCCCUUUGCUAGCUUAAUGUGCAAUAGAUAUAAAUAUAUCUAAACAUGAGAGUAGAGUGCCAACAAGGUCUUGAUGUGGGCCUGAUUGAGGUAGCAAUAUGACUAGGCCAUUAAAAGGAUUGAGUUUACAGAGCACAUGGAUUAUGGCAGUGGUUCCCGAGCUGUGGGUCACAGCCCAGAUGAAUUGUCUGAAAACACAGACCUAUGACAUGACCAUUCACAACAGGAGGAAAGUUAGAGUCACGAAGUAGAAUAAAAGAUAAUAUUAUGAUUGGAGGUCACCACAACACGGUGAAGAAAUGUAUCAUUCAGGGUUGUUGAGGCAUUGGGAAUUUUGAGAUCUGCUGUUUUAUGGUGAUAGAGUAUGCAUGGUAGAGAGAGCUGGGUCAAGUCCCUGGCUUGGCAGAUGUAAGGUUCAAUGUCCCAGGAAACCCUGUGAUCUAGGUGUCUUCUAAUAAUGGUAGUCAGUAUUUACCUGUGCCACUGACUAAGCUUUAGUGUUGCACAGGCUCGUGGACCGUAAGCAGGUCUUCAUAAAGUAUGGGAAAUACUUCAUACAGUAUGGGUGAAUGGAAGGCACAGCCUACCUCCCAGGCUGGUCUGACCAUGAACAAUGGGGUCCCAUUUCAUUCUGGGAUGAUUCAAAUUGAGUAAAAUACAGUUAUAAAAACCUCAGAUGGCUGGGCAGGAGCACAAAACCGAGCAACAGCAGCAAGUCCAGGGAACAGUAGACAAAGUCAAGGAGGGUGGAUCAGGGUCACUGGGCCCCCUAUGAUCCUGGGUAGUGAGGACUGCAUGAACAGGAACAGAUGUGGGACUCAAAGAUAAAGAUCUGAUAAAGAUGAGGGACCACCCACCCUAGGGCUCUGACCUUGGUGAUCUGUUGCAAAUGUUUGUCCUGGGCACACAGAAUCUCUGUCUGUCAACUGGGUCAUGCAUUAUGAAGAAAGGACCAGGCAUGUGGCAAACUGGAGCAUUCCCUCACAGGUCUUGUGCACAAGGGGUGCAAAUUCAUCAAGACUUGGAUGUCUGAACAUAAUCGUGUAAAGGCAUGUCUGUGGUCUUCACAUUGCAGGAUUUGAGCACAGGCUGUGGACCCCCUCCCUCUGCCUGGGAUUAUGGGACUGUGUCUAUAGUUGAGGGUCCAGGGUACUCAUCUUGCUGGUAUGUUGCACAUGGUAUCUUACUCUAAGUCUAAAAAUGUGGGACAGUGUAGGUGUGUUAUGUGCUGGACACGGACAAGGUCUUGCUGGUUUGUAGGCCGCAUCACCCUAGCAAUCUUUGGACAGGUAGAUACUAGGUGGAUUGUGAUCUAAGGAAGGCUAUGCCAUGGAAGGAACUUUGUAUGGCCAUCUAUACCCAAAUAAGGCCUCAAAUGUGGGAACCAGGGCAUUCAGGAUAGGGGUGAUUCUUCCUGAUAGACUAUUAUGCAGUCUUCAAGAUACCAGCAAGGCCUAGCAGUAUAUGGUCUCAUGAGCCCCAUGGUGUUGAUAUGAGCCUGGUAGAGGGAACAAUGGGUUAGGGCAUACAACUGGCUGAAUGCUGUGAACAUCCACAGAGUCCAUGGAUUAUGGCAAUGGCUCUCAAACUGUAGGUCAUAACAGGUUCUGAAAAUACGCGCUCUUUUCCAUGGCAAUUCAUAACAGUAGCAAAAUUACAAUCAUGCAGUAGCAAUAGAAAUAAUGUUGCUGUUGCAGGUCACCAAAAUGUCAGGAAUUGUAUUGUACAGGGUGGAGGCAUUGAGAAUGUUGAGAACCACUGUCUUAGGCUUAUAGAGCAUGUAGGGUAGAGAGGUCUGGCACAAGCUGUAAGCUUGGCAGAUGUAAGGUUCUAUGUCCCAGGAAAACCUAUGUGUUUUGUGAGUAGACACAAUGUUGAUGGGUAUGUCCUGUGUCACUCACUAUGCUUUGGAGUUGCACAGUCUCCUGGAGCCUAGUCAGGCCUUGCCUUCAUAGGAUAUGGGAAUCAUAUGAGUGAAUGAAAGUCAAGCCCACCUCCUAGGGUGGAUGGCCUUGAGCAAUGGGAUCCCAGUUGGUUCUGGAAUGAUGAAAAAUGGGUGAAAUGCAGAGACAAGUGAAUCAACUGACUGACGAGGAGCACAAAACCGAGCAACACCAGUAAGUCCAGGAUGCAACAGACAGAGCCAAGGAGGGAGGACUGGGGUCCCUCCAGAGUUUGGAUGGGGGAUGUAGUUGUGGAGCCCCAUCCGAUGCUGGGUAAUAGAGUCUGCAUGAGCAUGGAAGCAUGUAGGACUCCAAGCUGCAUAUGUGGCAUGCUGCAUAUGUGGGUCUUCAGCCAGCCUCGGUCUGUGGCAAUGGGCUGCAAAUAUAUGUCUUGUUCCAACUAGAUUGGACUAGCACAGAAUAUUUGUGUCCUAGCCUGGCCAGGCAUUGUGAAGUUAGGGCUAGGCCAUUGGGGAAACUGGAACACGCCCUGGCUGGUCUAUUGUACACGGUGUCCAAAUCCAUCUAGACCUGAGUGUCUGUGAACCUCCCCUUUGAUGAUUGCUCUAGUUUUUGACGUUUUUCAAAUGGAGCAGAGGCACAGGGUUCAUACUGUACCUCUAUGCUUGAUAUUGCCUGAGGAACUGAGGAGCUGAGGCAGUCACCUCUGUUCUGGUACACAUGAAUUAUAACCCUUGCUUGGGCUAAGAAUAUGGUGGAUUAUCCUCUUAUAGUAUCCCUGGAUAUGCAGGAUACAUGCAGAAACUGGUAUUUGAUGUGUGUGGGCAAAGGUGUUAGGUCAUUUCAGGGGUGUCAAUCACGUCUUUUUCACUGAUUACCAUUUGCUUGGUUUCUCUGAUAUUAUUUUCCCUGUAUCUGCCUUGGAGUUUCCAGGGUUUUCUUUUUCCCAUGAUACUCCUGUUUAGGAGUAGGGUUUUUUCUCAUUGUUCCAGCUUGCGUGUUUUUGAACUAUCAAGUGUGACUAAGGGAUGUCUUUUGUGUAUACACGUAUUUUUUUUCUGCAUUCUCUGGUCCAACAGCGAAAGAUACAUUUCAGCUGUGUGGUUUUGCUAUCACAAAUCUUCUUACACAUAACAAUUAUCUUUUGGGUAUUUUAUGGUUCCUUCUCUGUCUUUUAUUGGCCUUGCACUAUGAGCUCUAUGGCCCCCUCAUCUCUUCUUACCCUGUAUCAAAAGAAGCUUUCCAUGAGAUGUUUUCCAAAUUAAGAGUAGCAUGAAUCAUGAAAGAUAGCUUCUGCAUUUUACUAUUCCUGCUCUUUCUGCUUUGAUCAUUAAGUCUUCCAUAUCUAGUUUAUCUAGUUGCCUAUGUUCUGUCCAGGAAAUAAGUCUUUUAAAUCAGCAUUUCCAAAAAGGUCAUGUCAUGUAGCUUUCAAAGGAAGUUUACCACUUUUGUAUCUUUACUGUCAUUAUUUAUUCUAUUCUAUUCAGAGAGGACUUAUUGCAUGCAUGCCUUCCAUAGCUGGAUUUGUUUUGGUCACACAGGAGUCAUCAAUCUCUAUGUCCUCUCAAGUUAUAGCUGCCUUCAAAUCCUAAUAUCUACUUCAUAUUCUUGUCCUUCCCACAUAUAUUACUUUAAUAGUUACUGAAAUCUUCAAUUUUCACAUCUUUUUUUCUUUAUCAUGGAACUUUUUUACUCUUUUUUAUUGGAUAUUUUUAAUUUACAUUUCAAAUGUUAUCCCCUUUCCUGGUUUCCCAUCAAUAAACACCCUAUCAAUUUUCACAUCUUUCAAAGUCAUAAGUAUUUUGAGUGCUCCCUUCCAUGGCAAUAAAUGUGUGAUGAUAAAAAUGGAUAACAUCUUCCUAUUUACUUCAUGAAAUAUAUUCUGCAUGCUAUAUUUUCUACCAUGGAUAAUAUUAUUAGAAAAUAAGCCUUCUAUCUCAUGUCUUUCCUAACCACAGCUUCUCAGUGCAUUGAAGGAGUUUUCCAUAUUAACUUAUUACUGAAAAUGAGUACCCAUAAGAGAUAUAAUCCAGUUCUAAGUAUUGUAUAAUCAUUAGGGACUUUGGUUUCAAGAAGAAUAUCUAGUAUGGCUUAUUCACUCAUAAGAGUUUUUUAAAUCAUGAUAUAAUUUUUCCAUGCCUAUAUAUGUUUAACUCACAACUACUUUAGCAAUAAAUUGAAUUCUCUGCAGUCAUAUCCUCCCUGUUGCUGGUUUAGUACUGGAAUAAGUCAUCCAUCACCAUGCAUUUUCCCUGAUAUAGAUGUGGUUGACAAGAAAGUGAUGCUCAACUUCUAUGUGCUCUCACUUGGUGCAGGGUCAUAGUUGUGAAAUACCUUCCAAAUCCAUUUUUCUCAGGAGCUAAAGUUGCUUGGUAAAGCAACAAGUUUUCCAUGACCAUGUCUUCCCAUUCUAUAUCCACCCCACUUAAGGAAAUUCUCCAGCCUCUCCUCUCCCAUAGGCCCAACAAAGUUGGUCAGAAAAAAAGUUUCCACCACUGACCAAGAAUGAAGUUCUUCCCCUUUCAUGCUUUUCAGGUACCUCUGCUUUGAUAACGCAAGGAACCAUUCCUACCUUGUAUCUUUCAAAGUCUCUCUGCUCUGCUUAUUAACUUGAUCAUUAAACAUUGUAUGUUAGGGCUCCUUCCAGAAAAAAAAUACCUUUCUGUUUCUGCCAACUAUUGCUGUCUUUCUCAUAGAAUUAUUUUUCCAUUAUCAUGGCUCUCAAGUCAUGGCAGUUUUCUCCUUGCCAUUUAGGAUUUAUAAAAUCUUCUAACUCCACAUCUGUCCAGCUGUGUCUAUUUCUGUCACAUUCUAGUUUUGGUUUCCUCUUCAUCCAAGUAGUAAAGAGAUGAGUAAAGAAGUCUAGUACUACUGCUCCAAUUGUUGUCAGUGUGAAUGAAAUCUGUUCUAGUGGCACACAGGAAAUUUCCUCUUUCCUCUCUGGCCAUUUCUGCUCUGAGCACUGAAGAUUUUUCUGGUUGUGCAUUUUAUAUGAGGAGAGCAGCUCUUUGUGUGUUUCUAUUGAGAUAAUGAAUGUCUCAUCUGCCAGGAAGACCUGAACUUACUACAUUUUCCUACAGUGCUAGCUAACAGGGCUUUGAUAUAUGUAUCUUAGCUCUAAAGCACCCACAUAUUAUUAAGAAAUGUAUUACUUCAUAACCUAAUUAUUUGUAACAAAACAGUAAAAGCUACUUCUUUUUUUAAUUGGAUAUUUUUUAUUCAUAUUUCAAAUAUUAUCCCCUUUCCCAGUUCCUGUCCAUAAACUCCCUAUCCCAUCCCCCCUUCUUCUAUGAGGGUGUUCCCCCUUCCCAAUCACCCACCCCUUCCCACCUCCCCACCUGACAUUCCCUUACACUGCAGGGAGGGGGGGUACCGCUUGACAAGACCAAGGGCUUCUCCUAGCAUUGUUGUCCAACAAGGCCAUCCUCUGCUACAUAUGCAGCUGGAGCCAUGGGUCUGUCCAUGUGUACCCUUUGGGUAAUGGUUUAGUCCCUGGGAGCUCUGGUUGGUUGGUAUUGUUGUUCUUAUGGGGUUGCAAGCCCCUUCAGCUCCAUCAAUCCUUUUGCUACUUCUUUAAAAAAUGCUAGAUACAAUAGGGUCAUGUUGCCAUACAUUAAGUCUCUACACUUUCUCCUCCUACACAUCUACUACUUCAAGAUUCUCUUAGAAGAGUUCUCUCAACCUCAUCACAGUGAACGGUCUUUUGCAGAGCAAGUGUGAUUUCAUUAUCUCACAUUUCUAGCUUCACUCAUGUCUUAGACAGUAGAGAAACUAAAGGAUAUGUUAAUUAGUACAAAGUUCUAGCCAAGGACAGCCAGGUAGAUGAGCCCAGUUUGUUCUCUUUUGUACAGUUUCGCAUUUCUAUAUAUGCCUAUUUGUAUGUAUGUGUUUCAUUUUCAUGCUGUGUGUUUUGGCACUUUACUCUGUAUCCUGACUGCAUCCAACCUAAGAAGGAGACUCCGAGUGUAGCACAGGGAACAUAUUGUAAUCAUGCUAUGACAAUGGCCAAUUCAGCAGCUACUUCUCUAAAAGGUGACUAGAUCUCAGAAGCAAGCAUGAAAACCCUCCCUAAAAUGUCAACAAUACCCUAGAGGACAAUGAGGCUUUCUAUGGGAAAAGCCAAUUAUCUGCCUAGGAUAGAUGACAUGGGGAUGUAUGUCUGUCUCAGCUCAUCCCCUUCAUCAGACUAAACGUAGCAAGAAAAUUCAGGCUUAUAACUUGGAAAAUGUCACCUGUGGGUGAAGUAUUCUUUCCAUAAAAACACCAUGAGUGCUGGGCUUGGUGAUAUACUCCUAUAAUCCUACAACUGAAAGGAGCAAAGCAGUAGGAUUACAGCACAGCCUGGGUUGCAUGAUAAGGACCUGUCUAAAUAAUGGCUGAUAUGUAUAACUUUUACUUAUAUUUGCUGUUCUUUCUUCGGAAUAUCCCUGGACCUCUGAAUCCCAUUUGGCUCAACAUCAUGUCCUAAACUCAACUGAGGAACACCUUUGGACAUUUGUAUCUGGAUUGCCCUCAAGCUUGUUUUUUUGGUAUUCAUUAUGUAGACCUCCAUACUGUAAUUACAGAUGUUUCUAACCAGAACUGUCACCUGGUAGUUCUGUCAAGAGGAGCAGCCAGUCAACGUGCCACCACAUUCCAGCAACUUACCUAGGAGCUGACCACAAACCAAAGUUCCAAGAUCACCUGGACACAAAGAAUCACCUCCUCAUAUUUCUGUAAAUGCUAGUUUAGCUGUACUUGUAAUCCACACUAUUUGGGAGGCUGAGGUAGGAGAAGUACUUAAGUCAAAGAACUGAGUUGACCAUCCUGAACAACAUAAUGUGACCCUAUCUCAACCCAACAAAACAUCAGGAGAGAAAUCCACAGACUUUCUAGUGAUCUUGCUGAGAAAACAGUUUUUAUUGUUAACUGUUAAGGGAUAAUGCCAUUAAUAUUUUAAAUUGAUGCUAUUUUGUUAUUUAAGCCACAAAAAUAUUCAUUCUGAACAACACACUUUCUUGGCUGAUCUUUUGGAAUGGGUGAGGUACUUGUAUGCACACACGUGAUUAGAUAGUAUUUAUGGCAUUUUAGACUGCUACUGUUAUUUGUAGUGUAAUGAUGGUGUGUUACAUAAUUUUUACAUUUUUCCCUAAGUAAUGUAGGAUUGGUAGAUUGGAAUUUAUAGAUAAGAUGGUGGAUUAGAUGCUGCAUGUGAGUCAGUGGAUAAAAAAAUGUGAAGAUAAAAACAUAAUAAAUCCUAUUUAUAGAUAAGAGAAACUAAGAGAAGUAAAGAAAAAUAAGGCAAAGUCAGCAUUUCUCCACAAUGAACCAGGCCCACAAGAAAUCAGCUGUAGUAUUAUUCCUGCUGACUGGCAUCAUCUGUAGCUGCCAGCAGUGUAUUCUCAAAAGUUACACCAUGAGAGCCCAAGACGGCCAUUCUGGACUGUGUAAAUACAACUGGAUGAUGGUUAAGAAUCUAUACACAAAACAGGUUGCAGCAUUGUAGGUGUUAGAGUGAGUAGCAGAAAUGUGAUUGGAAAACAUGAAGUUGAAGAUCACUACAUAUUAUUAAAGGGAACACUGCUCUGCUGAAUAUGCUGGAAGGUUCUGUGAGACAGAUCAAAAUGGGUGUGCUUCCAGCCCUUAUCACAAUGGGGCUGUGUUCUAGGAUAAAAGAUCAAUAGGGACACAUUGUAGGCCUGCCUUCCUCCUUCAGCAACUUUGGAUCCUCAGGCUGUUUGAAUCUGUCGGCCUGAAUUCACAGACACAAGCCUAGCAUAACUGUCCUCUGAGAGGCUGACUGAAACAGAUGCAAAGACCUACAGCCAAACAUUAGACUAAGCUCAGGAAGUCUUGGGGAAGAGUUGAGGGAAGGAUGGACAAAUCAGGAGGGGAUAGAUACUCCACAAGAAGACCAACAGUGUCAACUAACUUAGACUCUUGGUGGCUUCCAGAGACUGAACCACUAACCAAAGAGCAUACACAGGUUAGACUUAGGCCUCCUGAACAUAUUUAACAGAUGUGGUCUUCGUGUGGUCCCCUCACAACUACAGCAGGGUCUUUCCCUGACUUUGUUGCUUGCCUGUGGAUCCUGCUCCCCUAACUGGGCUGCCUUGUCUGGCCUCAGUGGGAGAGAUUGUACAUAGUCCUGCAGUGACUCGAUGUGCCUGGGUUGGUACCCAGGGGUCCUCCCUCUAGUCCUGCAGUGACUUGAUGUGCCUGGGUUGGUACCCAGGGGGUCCUCCCUCUAGUCCUGAAGUGACUUGAUGUGCCUGGGUUGGUACCCAGGGGGUCCUCCCUCUUCUCAGAGGAGAAGGGGAAUGGGGUCUAGGGUCAUAUGAGGGGGAACUGAGAGGAGGAGAGGGGGAACUGAGAGGAGGAGGGGUCUACUGUUGGGAUAUAAAGUGAAUAAAUAACCUAAUGGAAGGAAAAUAUUGUUAACAUUUAUGUACCAAAUAUCAGGUACAAUUGGUAGGAGAUUUCAGUACUCUCAUCUUUAGGCACUUAUUUCAAACUAAAAGUUAACAAAGCAGCAGCAUAAGUAAAUAAUAUGAAAGAGAAAUACCAUUUAACAGAUGCAGAAUAUUCUGUCCAGUAAACAAGGAAUGCAAUUAUUCCCAGCAGCACAUGGGUCCUUGUUUAGAGCUAUUUACAUUAUGGGACACAAAGCAAAAUCAAAGUAAUAACAUUUCAGCAGAUAAUAGUAGAAUAAAGGAAGCAACAUAAAUAGUAUAAAAUAUAUUUUUGAGUAAACAGUGGGUCAUUGAGGAAAUCAAGGAAGAAAGUUCUUGAAAUCUUAUAAAUAAAUGAAAAGUAUGACACACCAAAGCUAUGGUGUACAAAAAGGUCAUUCAUAAGAAGGAUUAUAAUUAUAAGUGCUUACAUUAAAAAAUCAAUGGGAUCACAAUAACCCAAUAUAUACUUCAAACAACCUAAUUAUACACCUUAAGGUUCUAAAAAAAACUAGAAGGAAAACUCACAGGACAUGAAUGACAAGAAGUAGAGAUAAUAAAACAUAGGAAAUCAAACAAAAAGUUAGUUAUUUGAAAAGGUGGAGCAAAUCUUAAAGAAAAAUAGAUAAUAUCCAAAUUAAAAAUACAAAUGAAAAGAAAGCUAUUAUGAAAGAAAGGCUCUUAUGAAAUCCAGAGGGACAUUAGGGAAUACUUUGAAAGCUUAUAGUCUAAAAAGCUAGAAAACUGGGGCCAGGGAUGUAGCUCAGUGGUAGAGGGUUUGUCUGGCAUGCUCAAAGUCGUGGAUUUGAUUCCUAGUAUUUUUAACACAACAAAAUUUUACAAAACUUUAAAAAAAUGGACAUAUUACUAAACUCAUGUAACCCGCUAACACAAAUUCAAAAAGACAAGAAUAAUUUCAAGAAAUGUAAAAUAAGCAGUGAUAUCGAAAUCUUCACACAUAGAAAAGUCAGGGGUUGGAUGGAUUCACUACUGAAUUCUAACAAAUCAUUAAGGGAGUCUAACAUGAAUAAUUCUUAAACAACUUUCGUAAAAUAGAAAUGGAGGAGACAGAAUUAAACUUAUUCUGUGAAGCUGGUAUUAUCUUGAUGCCACAAUUUCCCUGGUGAGCAGAUGUAAAAAACAAAAAUCUCAAAAUACUUGUAAACUAAACUCAAGAACACGCUAAGAAGAACAUAUACGACCACCUAAUUGGUUUCAUACUAAGGAUGCAAGUUUGGUUUAAAGCAUGCAAAUUAGUUAAUGUAAUGCACUAUAUUAAUAGACUUAAGAAUCACACGAUAAUUUCCUUAGACCCAGAAAAGCCAUUUCAAAGUUUAACAUGUGUUCAUGAUAAAAAGUCAUGAAUCUAGUAAUCAAAGGAACAUAUUUCAACUUUUAAAAAAGACUACAUACGACAAACCAAUAGUUAGCAUUCUAUUAAAUGGAGACAAACCAAGACCAUUUACUCUAAAAUCUGGAGUAAUACAGUGCCUACUUUUACCACUCUUAUAGAAUAGAGUGUUUGAAGCUUUACAGCAAAAAUACAAGAGAAAAAUGUAUAUAAAUAGGAAAAGAAGUCAAAUCAUUAUUUGCAAAUGACAUGAGCUUCUACUUAAAACGCCCUCCACACCACAACCAAAGAUUCUUAGAUCUGACACUUUCAGCACUCUUUGUUAGAAUAUAAAAUGAUGUAGUUACUGUAGAAAAUAUUUUGGUGAUUCCUUAAAAAUAUUUGUAAAAAUUAUAUAAUCUAGCAAUUCUAUUUGUGAAUAUUUACCCAGGAAGAUUGAAAACAGGAUCUUCAAGAGAAAUCUGUAUAUCUCUAGUCAUAAAAGCUUUUAUUUACAACAGUAAAAAGGUAGAAGUAUGUAUGAGUGGAAGAAUAGAUAAAUGAGGCAUAAUUAUAUAGUAGUGUCUUAUUUACCCUUUCGAAAGGAGGGAUAACUUACAGCUGCUGUAUGUGGAUAAACUUUGCAGAUACUGUGGUAAAAGAAAUAAGCCCACCAAAAAAUGAUUUAGUGAAUGACUUCACUAAGACAAAUAUCUGAAGUAUCAAAUUCAUAGAAAAAGAUAUUAAUAGAAUAGUGGUCACCAGGGUGUCUUAAUCACUGUUUUACUGCUAUGAAGAAAUACCAGGACCAAGGCAACUCUUAUAAAGGAAAACAUUUAAUUGAGGCUGGCUUACAGUUUCAAAGAUUCAGUCCAUUAUCAGCAUGUAAAAAGCUUUGCAGCAUGUAAGCAGUCAUGGUGUUGGAGAGGAGCUGAGAGUUCUACAUCUAGAUCUGAAGGUGGCAGAAAGUCAGAAAGAAACUUGACCUGGUUUAAGUCCUUGAAACUCCAAAGCCCACCUCCUCCCCCAUCCCCAGUUAGAUAUACUUCCUCCAACAAGGCCACACAUACUCAAAAAGGGCACACUUAAUCUCUCUCAAGUAGUGCCACUGCCUAAUGAACAAGCAUUUAAAAAUAUGAACAUAUGGGGGUGUUCUUAUCCAAAGCAUCACAGUCAUGGUGAUGGAUAAAAGAAUUUUUGUUGAUUUUGUCACUCUCUUCCUCUUCAUUUUUCUCAUUGUUGUUCUUGAUUUUUUUAUGGACAAUAGAGAUUACUUUUGCAACAUGAAAACAUUCUAUAGAUCAAUUUCCCACAGUGUGAAUAUAUUUAUUAUGCCUAUACAUUUUUAAAUGUUACAGAUGUUUUCUAUACACACACAUUGCAUUUGUCACAUACCCUAAAAUUGAAGUCACUAGAAAAACUAAUUAAAAAUAAAAUUAUAUUGUUGGGUGACUUUUCUUGGAGGAUAUAAAGAAAUGCCAAUUUAUCCCACAUAAGGUAUCACGUAUACACUAAAAUCCUGACUCCACCUAAGCUCCAAGUGGUGCAUCAGGAAAUUGAUUGAAGUUACUUAUAAGAACAUGGGUAACUGGGCAGCUAUAUCAUCAACCAAGUUCAACCUCAGUGAGUGGCCACUGCAUGGAUGGUUUGGGCAGCUGAUUCACUGAAUAAUCCUACUCCAGCAUGUGUGACCACUCACAGAAGAUGCCUAACUAGAGUUCUAGCUUUAGUCAUCCUCCCCCUUCUAUAUUCUCUAGAACUUCCUAAGACCACAUAUAGGUGAGAGGUCGGGAGUAGUGGAUAAUGAUAGUGGAUUCCUUCUAAGAGUUAGUGUUAAUGGUCCAAUUAUAAUUUUUAUUAACCCAGCUAUUAACAGUUUAAUUUGCUUAUUUUGUUACUAUGACUGCAGAGAUAAGCCAUUCUAUAGGUCAUCACAGCGAUCUAGGCUUCAUGAUGGUGACAAUCAUGUUACACGUGUAGAAAAGAACUCUACUACAGCACAGUACUGUAUUGAGAUGUAAUUAACAACUAGAGUGUUCCAUUUUCUUCAUACUACUGUGGAUAUAAACCAGGGCCUCACCAAUGCUAAGCCAUCAGUUGCCACUGAGCCACAGCCAGAUCUUAAUAUAAUAUUUUGAUACACAUGUCCUUUAUGAAAUAAUGUAGCCAAGCUAACUAACAUAUGCAUCACUUCACAUACUUUCUAUCUGGGGUAAGGAAAAAUUAAGAAACUUACUUUAGGUAAAAUGGUAAAAAUAAAAGUGAAUAAUUGUAAAAUAUAUUCUAUAUAAAUAUUAGCUAGACUGGAGUUUAAGAAAAAUAUACUUAGUUUAAAUUAUUUAAAAAUUAUAAAGAAUAUUAUAGAUUGAUAAAAGUGAAGUCCAUCAAAAUAUACAGGAAUUGUAAACAUAUAUACACACCAUAAAACCCCAGAGGAAUAAAUAAAUGAAAUAAACAGAACUGAGGGGAGAGAAAGAUCAGUCUACAUUUACUUUUAUCCAUUUUUUAAAUUCAUAGAGCUAGAAAGAAGAUAAAUAAGGAAAAGGCAACUCCAGACAUCCAUCCGGCAUGUAGCACAUACACCAUAUACCACAAAGAAUAUACAAUUUUCUCAACUGCACAUAGAACAUUAUUCAGAACAGAUUGCAUGUUAGAACAAAAGAGAAAAAAUAAGUUAAAAUAUCCUAAAAAAAGUAUGUUUACUAAAACUACAAGCCUAGAUAUCAGCAACGUUACCAGUCUCUUUCUGGAUACCAUUAGCUCCUUGGUUCUUGUGAUGAGAUUCACAGAGAGAAUUCAGGUAAGAUGCACAGAGCACAGUGUAGAAGAGGAGCAGUUUAUUCUAAGGUGGAAAAAGCUCUCAAAGAAUCAGAGUAGAUGGCCAAAGAGCACAUUGCAGAGCAGAGUACAUUCCCAAAGGGGUGAAAGUAGGGGUAGAAAGGGGCAGUGGUAGGAGAGAGUCCAGUAUCAAGAGGUGAGUAUAGUCAGUGACCAACGGGGGCAUUUCAAAGGAGAGUGGAGUCUCAACAGGUAAUAGACAGGCUUUAUACUAUUUCUAUAGUGUCAAAAAUGAGAUUCAAUUGCAUUAAUUCUUAGAGGAAGGAUCACUGGUAUGUUGUUUUCUGGCACUGUUUCUGGAAAGAUUUGGACAAACAUCCACAUAUGAUAUAUGCCAAAUCAAUAGUAGACCAAAUUAAAGAUACUUCCAAAAGUCAAA
Non-coding RNA from Rattus norvegicus (Norway rat), 57644 nucleotides. The record is from RefSeq and is a predicted model, not a curated record. Lineage: Eukaryota; Metazoa; Chordata; Mammalia; Rodentia; Muridae.